CAAAAAAAGCUGCUUCGCAGGGAGAUCCUCUGAGCAAGAACGACUGGUUUGUUGGUGACCUGAUCUUCUACUGUGUUAUCAGCUAUACUACUACUAUCUUGUUUAGAUGAUAAUUGAUAGUUACACUUUGCUUACCUUUCAUGAACUAAAAAUUUCCAAGUUAGCGGGGCUUCACUUGUAUGUUCUAUCAGAUUCGUUGCUUAGGAAAUCGACCGAUUCAAUCCAAUUACUUUCAUCUUUUAUAAGCAACAUAGGAGAAGCCUCUUUGUUAAGACUUUUGAUGCAAAAUUUGAUCUUUUUUUAGUUGCAGGAAAUCUAUAUGGGCUCUGAUUAAGACCUUAGUGUUGAACUGAUGAAGCUUAAAAUAAACUGAAAUCUUCAAAUUUUGCAUCCAUUAGUUCCUAUUCAGACAUGCUAUUCACUUACUUAAAUGUAAUGCAUUUCGCGAGUUGAUUGAUUAUAUUGGAAUACUGCUCGAUUCAUUCUACAGAGCAAUGACUUCUGGAGGGAGGCACAGAUUCUUUCGAAACUUCACCAUCCAAACGUGGUAGCUUUUUAUGGGGUAGUUCCAGAUGGUGCUGGGGGAACAUUGGCCACCGUCACAGAGUUCAUGGUGAACGGAUCACUCAGGCAUGUCCUGCUAAGGAAGGACAGGUGAGCCGAGCCGGCCAUAAAAUUUUCUUGUAUUGAUUUCACCGGUGCAAAAAUUGCAUGAUUAUGCUGAUGAUGUUACUUUUUCUUUAGCGCACUUGAUCAUCGCAAAAAGCUUAUAAUCACGAUGGAUGCUGCUUUUGGGAUGGAAUACUUGCAUUCAAAGAACAUAGUUCAUUUUGAUCUCAAAUGUGACAACUUACUAGUGAAUCUUAGAGAUCUCCAGCGACCGAUAUGCAAGGUAGGUCCCGAAACAUACAUAUAUACAUAUACAUAUACAUAUACAUAUACAUAUAUAGCUUGAGAAAUGCAUUUCGAUGCACUCGAUCUGAAUCAUGUGAAAAUAUAUAUAUUUUCAGCUGGUUGCAUCUUCUAUAUUAUUCCUCAUAUGCUGUCCAAUUCCGGAGAAAAAUCGUUAACUUCCUACUAAACUUCGAGUUAGCUUACGAGAUAUUUUUAUGUGUAAUUUCGUAGGUUGGAGAUUUUGGAUUGUCAAGAAUUAAAAGAAAUACCCUGGUUUCUGGUGGUGUGCGAGGAACCCUCCCAUGGAUGGCGCCGGAACUAUUGAAUGGGAGCAGUAGCAGGGUUUCCGAAAAGGUGAUCUCCAUGAGUCAGUUUUUAGUCUCAUGCAAUGUUUCUUGAAAUUAAGACAGAGGCAAUUAACAGCAUGUCUUGGUCAUUUCUAGGUUGAUGUUUUCUCUUUUGGAAUAGUUAUGUGGGAAAUCAGUUUUUAGUCUUCUCAUGCAAUGCUUCUUGAAAUUAAGACAGAGGCAAUUAACAGCAUGUCUUGGUCAUUUCUAGGUUGAUGUUUUCUCUUUUGGAAUAGUUAUGUGGGAAAUCAGUUUUUAGUCUCCUCAUGCAAUGCUUCUUGAACUUAAGACAGAGGCAAUUAACAGCAUGUCUUGGUCAUUUCUAGGUUGAUGUUUUCUCUUUUGGAAUAGUUAUGUGGGAAAUCCUGACAGGGGAAGAACCCUACGCGAAUAUGCAUUGUGGCGCGAUCAUAGGUAAAUGUUAUUUUACUAUCUAGUAAGAAUUUCACAAGGCUUGUUUUUCUAUCAACAAUACAUUGUUGUGUACUAACAAAUUCGUCGACGAUGAUUUAUGUUCAUGUUAAAUUGUCGACUUUUCAUUAUUAAGUAAGUAGUCAGGCUCUUCUUAAUCAUGUAAAUCUCAUUUUGCCUUUGGAAAUUUAAACAUUUUAGUCGUUUUUAUGAUUCAAGCCUUUUUGUCUUGUCUAUUUAGACUUAUAAUUGAUCAAAUUAUCCAUUUCACAAUCACAUGCAGCAUCUGUGGUAAUAAUAUCUGUUUCCAAUUUUCUUCAGAAUUUAUGCUCCUGACUAGUUCUUUCUCAUUUAUGCUAUUUUGGGCAUACGGAAACUAUUUUAUGGUUACACUUCACACAAAGGCAUGGGCUCGAGGAUUGUAUAAAGUUCGGCGAGCUCCCGGACUUUACGACGAUCUUCUUGGCGAGUUCCAACGAGCUUCUUUGACAAGCUCCUGGACUUCUCGGUUGGUUCCGGCAGAACUUCCGACGAACGUUCGGACUUUCGACAAACUCUUGAACUUCAAACGAGAUCUCGAUAUUGAUUCCGGCACAACAAUUGUUUUAUGUCUUACUGCUAUCGUAAUUAAUCAUGUAUACUUUUCUCAACGUAUAGAUUAGAUCAAAUAAUUUACAAUUGAUUUCAUCAUCAAAAUCCGAGAUUCAACAAUAUGUUCUGACGACUUGCUUUCAUCUUUUUCUUAGUAUAAUUUUCUUUUGAAAUGUAUUGCUUGUUUUCUGUAAGUGAAUUGCUAAUCAGACCACUGGUUAUCAUCUUUCCAUUUCCAUGGGGAUAAGCUGAUACUCAAUGAUUUGAUUAAAUUUGUGCAACAAAAUCAUCAUCUUUUUGUGAAACUUACAGGUGGAAUCUUGAACAACAAGCUUCGACCGCCCAUACCGGAACGUUGCGAAUCCGAAUGGAGAAGGUUAAUGGAACAGUGUUGGUCACCGGAUCCCGUGGCACGGCCCUCAUUUAGUGAGAUAACCGACAGACUGCGUGCCAUGUCCAUGGCAUACCAGCAGAAGGCACAGACUCGAGCAAACAGAUGAAGCUGCCAAUUAGGGGAUACUUUCCCUUGAAAACACAGGCUUUUUUUCUUUUUCCUCUUUAGUCCUUGUUUUCGAGUGGCUUUAUGUCUUGAGUAUUUAUCGUCCAUUUGAGAAUUGUGGACAAGUGUAUUCCUUUUUUUCUUCCGGACAUGAGUUACUACCUAUUCUUUGUGGUGAUGCUACAACAUAUUCAAGUGUAUAAAGAAUUUUGUCCUUGUGUAAUGAGAUGAUAUGAUGUUAGUUUUGCUCAACUUGUGCUUGCGAUCAGUGAUUUAAAAAGUGUCGGCGUCAAAAAGUGUCAAGUCCUGAAACACUCGAAGCGCUAGGCACUUGCCUCAGAGAAACGAUGCACUCUAAAAUAUAUAAUAUAAUUAAUAAAUAUAAUUAUUUAAAUAAAAAUAUGAUAUUAAAUUAAAAAUAUACUAUUAACAGUAUAUUACUUACUGUAAACAGUAGUUAGAAGGAGAGAAAAGAUUUAUUAAUAAUAACAGAGGAGGAUAAAAGGGUCACUGAUAGUGGAAAUCGAUAGUGGAAAGUGAUAGCAACAACGAUGAGAAGCUGACAGUAGUAGCGGCAAAAGAUUAGUUUAAGAUAGUCGUGGCAGCGCUGCGAAUGGCAGCAACGACAGAAGCUGUGGACAACAGCAAUCGCAGCGACGAAAGCUCCAGAGGGCGUCCGUCAGUGGCGAAGGAACUUGUGGUCUUCUCCCUCGAUAGUGAAAGGAACUACACAUGGAGCGACGAUAGAAGAAAGCUAUGGGCUCUUGCUACGUUGUCGGACCCGUCUGUCAACGACAGAGGAAGGCUCGAUCCGCUACAUCUGUGAUGGAGGCAAUAGCAGAAAGUAUUGGCGACAGAGGCAGAAGCAGCACUAGGGUUGGCUCGGGAUCGUGCGGGCAUAAAGGGUGGCUUUUGAGGGUAAGAAACUGUGUUACUAAAUACUAACUAUUAUUGAACCAAACUGGUUCGAUUGCCUUAUUUGAACUAGGUGCUCGCUCGAAGCGCUCGACACUUGGGUUCGGGCGAGCGCCCAAGCGGUGCUUCAUUAAAGCGUACUGCCUAGUCCACACACGAGGCGCUCAGGCCUCACCUUGCCUCGACUGAGCACCUAAGCGAGCCCCCUAGCACCUAUUUAAAUCACUGCUUGCAACAAUGGCUAAAGUUCAAUUUUUGGGCCGGAACAUACCUCAAUUUAUAUAGUUGAAUCGAAACAUAGAUCUUGAUCUUUUUAUUUUGAGGCAGUGAAAGCUCUGAGAUGUGCAGCAUGAUCCAACUGACUUUCAUGUUCCAAUUGUGUGUUAUCAGCAAUAUAAUGUUAUUUUUUUUGUUGAAUAACCCUAAACCCUAUAUGUUGGAACAACCUCCACCUUUAAAGGUGCUGCAGCAACAGGGAUACAACUUUUCAUCAGAACACUGAUCUGGUUCAGGAACUAAGCUAAAAAUAAGGUGUAGAGAACCUAAGCUAAUAACAUGUAACAUCUAAUAUCAGUGCCAGAGGUAGUUAAUCCAAGAUUGGCAUAUAAUAAUCGCAAACAGCCUCAUGCAAAGGCAUAUUAAAGAUAAGUGUGAAGAGUUGAGAUCCUAUCAGUUGCAGCAAAGAUCCAAUUCUUGUCAGUGUGGAACCAUCUAAUUUGCAGUUCUCAGUGAGCUCUUCAUCUAAGCAGAUGAGUGGAUUGUAAAUCAAUCCUUCAUUCUAUCACAAGACAAACCUGGACUUCUUAAUGAAUAUAUAACAUGGUAAAAAAUGGAUAGUGUCAAGAAAUCUUUUCAUGCAAAUCAUACAAAUCCAAGAUCAACCUACAUUGUUAUAAUUUUGGAAUUGCAUUAGUUAUACAGUAAAAAAUAAAGUUUUGCUACACAUGAUUAUGACCGCUAGAAAAGGCAUAUCUAACCUGAGAUACAAUUUCGUCUGUGACCAAUUUUAACAUAUAGGAGGCUUGAAAUAGCUGACAUCAUUAGGUUUGGUCACAAAUGAUCAACAAUGAUAGCCACUUUGUCAGCAAUAUAUGCUUUUGUGAAGAGUCCACAAAUCCGAAACUGCUACCAAGAUUCCCGAAAUCAUGAUCUGAGUGGCAUCAGUAGAGACUAAAUGCAGUGUAAACAACUGGAACAGUAUUGCAAAGCCGAUCCUUAGUGGAGAAGAAGAAGAAGAAGCAAGCAAAAGAAUUCAUAGAACACCAGAAACAGCUGAAAAGCAAAUAACCUCAUGGCUGCUGUUCCUCAUCCCGUCUUGAUCUCAUUAUCCUCCUACGCCUCCUUGAUAUCAGGAUGUUGUCAUCUGAGUUCCAACCAUCAUCCUCUUGUAGGCCUAACAAGUUCUCACCCCAUAAGUAGCGGCGUGUUGAGGAGCGCCGACGAGCCCUCCCAGCCCUUGAAGAGCUUCUCCGUUCAUCAAAUGAUGAACCUAUUGGACCACUGAUCAUGUGAAGCAGCAGAAGCGUAGGCCACCACGGUGCAUUCCGAUCACCUGACAGGUUCUCCCCAUCAUUGAUAACAUAAUCCCCAAAUACAACUGACCCUGGCAAUGCUGAUCUGAUGGCACUGAGGAUGUCACUAUACUCCUGCUGGUGUUCUAGGUGGCGCCAAGCACGUUGCCUUGAUGGAUCAACCUCAGCAGGCCUUGUCGUUGGAUGGAUUCUCCUGGCAUGUAUACGAAGCUCCUGGUAGUUUCCAGAAUAUGAGCAUGAUUCCCUGGAGCAGCUUCUUAGCUUCUGGUCCAGAUACUGUCUAGCUUCUUUAACAAUCAUCCAACCCAGUACAACACCCCGGCAGAGAGGGCACUUCAAGCAACUGUCUUCUGGUGCAUUACCACCACCAGAUUCAUCAAAACUAACAUUUGCUUCUACCUGAGAUGCUAAAUAUCUAUCUUGUGCUUGUCUAUCCCCAGUGUUGUCUAAGUCUUCGACUAAACCAGUAGUCGUUCUAUCAUUAAAACUGUAACCACCAUGGGUCUCUAUGUCUGUUCUUGUCCCUAGGGCGCCAGGAAAGGAAGCAGAUUCCAGGGUGUAAGGAGAGCCCAAGCGAGAUCUCCCUGAAUCAACAUUCUCAAGGAUGGUAGAGGUGGAACCAGAUGGGCUGUCACUAGAGCUCAUUCUCAAUUUUCUGAAUUGAUCGAGGCAAUUUGAAUGCCUGUAACUUGUAUCACAAAUGUAAGAUCUGCAACCUUUUUCAUAUGAAGUGCAUAUGAGAACCACAGCAUUGUGAGGAUGAUCCAUGCAGAUGGGACACAGAACCUCAUCCCAUUGUUUUUGUAGACCAAUGGUAUCUGGAUUCUUGGAGGUGUUUUCUUUGUUAUCGGCCAUCUCCAAUACACUGCUGUAAAUGUUUAGUGUCAAACUGAUUAAAAAUGCAAAGGUGGAUUAACUAUCACUAUUUACAUCUGAGAGCUACAAAAUCUGUAACAGCAAUAAGCUUUGCAGCAAUUUAAGAAAAGAUAAGCACCAAAGAGAACAUAUUCUGACCUUUGAUAAGAUAAGAACAUCUAAUCAUCUACAUAAAAUAAAAUAAAAAACGAUCGUGGCAGAAAUAGGUUGUGGCCAAAUCCAAAAAUACUCUGGAAUCUGCAUUAAUCUUUAUCAACUCGUGGCAUCGACACAGAAACAAAAAUCAUACAAGAAAGUUGUUUCCAAUCAUGACAUCUUUAGCAUGGCUCUAAAUUAAAUAAGAUUUCUAGACAAGCACUCAACCCAACACUGUGUUCGAAGAGUAAUUAUCAUGAAUUUAUCAUACAUGCACUCACAUAAAUACCAAAGGCAAGAAGUUUGUAACACCAACCAUCAUAUGAGGAAUACAUCUUUGGGAAUUAGGUUAUCUUGAAUGGUUUCAUAGGAGACAAGUACAAUAACGAAUGAGGGAUUGGCUUUUGAAAUAAUUUCUCGCAUUUCAAUUGCUUCACUAUACCAAUCUCAUCCCCUGUUAACAACUGGUAGAAAUACUAAUACCACUGAUACACUCAUGUAUGUGAAGAUUGCUGGUGUCUAAUCCAUGUGGAUUUUGAAGUCAUCUGCUACAAUCAAGUGAAAGAAUUAAGCAUGUAUGGCAUUCACUCUCGGAUUCUUUUAGAUGCACUUCAUACAUGUGAUUUAGAAUACUGACACUAAGUGCUGGAAUUGUCUGGUAACAAAAAUUUAAAUGUCCCAAGAAAGAUUGAUUUCUAAUUUAACACCUAUUACUGUCAGCUGGUCCAAAAUAUAAGAGUGAGCAAUAUCCACCAUCAUAUAACUGAGGAAGAGAGAUCAUUUAUCAAGUUCCUCAACAUGAAAUAGGCAUAUACAAACUUUACUUUUAUUUUUUCCUUUCCAUUAUCAAACAAUUUCAUGAAAUUGGUGCAGAAAUUUUCAAGUUCUUCUAAAUGUGCCAUCUGCAUAUCAAUAUUUCUUUCCUUUUUUCCUUCCAUUACCAAACAAUCUCAAGUAAUCCCUGCAAUAAUUUUAUGCCGUAAGCAAGGUGCCUUGAAACAUAAAUAGUCAUAUUAGCAAGUUUCGUGAAGCUCAGAGUUAGAAGACAUAUAUAAAAGGGGGGUCGGUGACCUCUUCCGCUAUCUUUAAGAUAUGAUCUCCUGCACCAACUUGAAGUACAUUCCUUACGAAACCCCACAUUAACCCCACAUUCGGUCGCUGCUGCUAAUAUACCUCAAGCAAAGAAAUUUAGGAAUCCACAGAAAGGCAUAAUCUUCAAAAAUAUAAUGCACAAGCUUAAUUAGAAGCAAGAAACAUCUAUCCUUUAUCAAUAAUUUUCACUUAAUACAACUAUAUGCAUAUUCUCAUUCCACUAGUCCUGCCUGUAUACAAAUGGGUAUCUCCAGGUCUUGCAGAUUCAUUCAGUAAGAUUAUGUGCAUCCGUUCCAAGUUCCAUCAUGUGCUCCAUAAACAUCAGAUUCAUCCACAAUCAAUCUCAUGCGAAGCACUUUGUUCCUUCAGAAGCACUAAAGCCAGGCAUGGGAGAAGUCGGGCUGGUGAUAAGAGUUUAUGACCUCCCAAAUCACAAUCAAACUACUUGAAGUUCCCAAAAACUCACCACGAACAAAAAUGAAACGAUCUGAUCCUUUUCUCUGAAUCUUUGGUAUAGAUCUAACCGGAGUUUGUCCUCAAAUGGAACCUUAUAUUCCAAGUCACAAGUGCUAAUUUGGCAAGAUGCUCCUCCAAUAACUCAUAUGCAAAGAUCAUAACACUCCCCUAGCAUCAAAUCAAUCUCAGAUCCAGAAACUACCACCAGGUUCAAAGACAUCAAAACCACAUUGCUGGAAAUAACAACUCACUAUCACAAGAAUUCAAUAAUAAGCAUACAGAGAGAUGGCGAACUGCGCUGAAAAAAUGAAUCUUAUUUCUCUUUAAUAAGACAAAAACAUACACACAGAAAAAUAUAACAUAAAUAUAAAGAACAACACACAAAGUUAAUCAAAAGAACAAAAACAUUUGUUGCCCCAAAUCUCCAGCACGAUCGAAGUCAAAAUGGCAGUUUUAACAUAUAGAUGACGUUCUUUGACAUCAAGAUGUGAAUUGUUCAAUUUGUUCAACGAUAACAAACAAAAGAAGAACACUCCUGUCCCGAAUCGGACGAUGGGCAGAUAGAACAACACAUCAAAGAUUAAUCUAACCAAGCAGUAGCAGAAGAAUCUCUAACCUUAAUUACCCAAAGCACGCAACGCCUGCUCCGCGACCUGCAAAACAAAGAUCCAUAGAAACCAAGAUCAAACACCGCCUUAACUGAGGUCAGAAUCGGUCUAAAACUGGAACCUAUCACCGGCCAACCACAGGAUCUAAAGCCAAAAAUCGAGGGCAAAAGAAAAGGAACAUAAAAGAAAAAAAAAAAUCUGUGCUCGAGAGAAAAUACACUCUAAAAUCGUACAAGCAACUGCACCGGAUGAUUGUUCUCUUCUUUCUCGGUCUUCUUUCACCGAAUUCUUGUCCCAAACACAGAGAGAUUUCCUCUUACUUUAGUUUAUUUUUAUUCGUCUUCUUCUUGCUUAAAAAGAAAGGGAUCGAUUUCGUCUUUCUUCUUCUUUCGAUCCUUAUUUGAACUCCUCCGCUGGAGAGGCGAGUUUGGAAGGAAACGAGUCCGACGAUGGGGCUAACGAAAGCGGCGGUGGCAAUCGAUUGUUAUUAUUGUUACGGUAAGCGGGAAGACAGGCUUGGUCCUAUCGAACCGAACUACCCAUGUUCCUACCUGACGUUUUAUUACACAAGGCAGUGAGACAACGUGGGUCCGCUGCGGGGUAGUCGAGCAGGUGUCGACCAAACGGGUCCUCUAAUAGCCUACUGAAAAGGGUGACGUGAGGCACAAUAAAGUCGGUGUUGAGUUGGCUGUGUGACUUCUUUUUACCGUCUUGACCGUGAGCUUAAAUCAGAGAUAAUUCCGUGUUACCCUAAUAAUUAACUAUCUUUACAUCCAAUCAUAAUUUAUUAAACUAUUUGAUUUCGUUUUUUCUUAUAUUAUCGAUUUUAUUUAUAAAAAAUAAAUUAAAAUGAGACAAAGUCUGAUGAUAUUUUUGUAAAAAAAAUUUGAUGACAUAAACAUAAACAAAAUUAAAUAUUUAAAGAUCCUAAUAUAAUUUUUAAAAAUAUAAAAAUUAAAAUAUUAAAUCUAACUAAUUACAAGAGGAUAAUAUAUGUGGUGCUUUUUUUGCUUUUAUUUAAUUGAUAAUUAUCUCUUCAAAAUCAUCAAUCUCUUUCUCUAGUAUUGUAAUUUUGAUCUAUUUUUCUCAAAAUGAUGGUUGCAAAAUAGGGAUUGAUAGAUAGCAUGUCACGAGAAUGCUUGGUGACAGAAGAUGAAGCCAAGGAAGGAAGCACAUCACGCAGGCGGCAUCAUCCCCCCGCCCAGCACAUAUGGUCGGGACCGAGAAAGCUCAACUGCUGCUACUUGUGGACAAAGACCGAAGCCGGAGUCGCUCGAGGGGAUGAAUCGCCGUUUUACUCUGCACACAAUUUUCGACUCCGUCAUCCUUAUCCUCUUGACAGGUCGCAGACCAAUCCAUGGCUGACGGGAGUCGAGAUCAGAGUCCAUGCAGCUUGUGGAGGAGGAUAUUAUCGAGGACUGAUGCUCCAUUACUGUGUCUUCUAAUACACCUGUACCUCUCCCUGUGACCCUUCGUUCGGAGUCCAUGCUGCUUGUGGAGGAUAUUAUCGUGAACUGUAGGCUCCAGUGCCUUGUCUUCUAAUACACCUGUACCUCUCCGUGUGGCCUUUCAUGUCCCGACUCGUUGCUGUUAUUUAUGGUCGCUCAUGGCUAGCAUCUCGAUCUAAAAUUUGCAAUGGCGUGCAGAACCAUUCCUCUGCAACUCCCCUCGGUUGGUGCCAAGACUCCCUUCUCCGGCACCAGCGGCUCCAUGAACUGGAACCACAGAAACAGUCCAAGAGGCUCCAAGAUGAGGCCCUCGGUCUUCUCCACCAGGGAGGACCUCCGGCCGCGGCUGGAUGAGUACCCGGAAGGGAUCAUCUCCGGCGAAUGGACCGAGAACUUCUCCUUGUUGAGCUACGACGACCUUCGUGCCUAUCUUCAAUCACAAGUCACCGUUCACAAGGUAUUCUUCCUCGCUUCAUCCUCUGUUCCUUGCACCAGGAUUCAAGUGUUUGUCUGGAUGGCAGGUCGGGCCUUCUUCGCUUCUUGGGGAGGUCAUGUCGACGACGAUCGUGACCGCCAUAGCAGGUCAGAUGCUGGAGGAGAUCGAUCAUCACUUCGAAUUUGUGUCCGCGCUGCCGGUGGUCGACGGCGAGCUUAGAUGCAUUGGGGUCAUUUCCAGGCACGACAGGGCUGAAGCCUCUCUGGGGGUUGGUUCCAACCCCUUUCUUCUCUUCGUUGAUGGUUUAUAACCUCCGAUUACUGACUGAUGAGUGAUGCUCUGCUCUGAUCAAGCAGGCAAAAACAAAGGUGGGCGAGGUGAUGUCGUCGCCGGCGAUCACGCUGUCACCUGAGAAAACAGUCACAGGUACUCCUUUCACGCGGUCCUCGCGUGGUUCCAGCUUCUAAUCAUCCACGUCUCAUGUGAUGUGUGUAACCAUGCAGAUGCUGCAGCUUUGAUGCUCAAGAAGAAGAUUCAUAGGAUACCAAUAGUGAACGAGGCAGGGCAAGUCAUAGGUGAGAGAGAGAGAGUUGGAAACACCCAGCUCAUACCUUGGCUCUUGGAAUGAUAUUGUUUAGCUGACAAAUUGCCUUCAUCGUAUUCACAGGAAUUGUCACUCGGACUGACAUAUUGGAAGCUUUAGAGGCCGCCAUGGAGGAAUAAAUGACCCAUCGCUGCUCCAUGUAUGUCUAACUAUGCUGAGGCAGUAUCGACUAGUAUGAGCAUGAAGCUACCAUGGUUAUGUAAAAUUAUACUUGUACAUUGGGCAGUAAAAUGAUAAAGUAAUUACCAAAUAAAGAUUGUGGUGUUCAGCUUACUGCUCAAAGAAAAUUUCGAGUGUAAUCUUUGAUGCAAGCAAUUAUCAAACGCAGAGUAGAAAGAGGAGAACGCUGGCAAAGGAGGGAUUAUAACCAUGACGUAUGUGAUAUGCUGACAACAAAACAUGGAAGUGAUAGUACACACUACACAGUCAAUUAUAUAUGCUUGAAGCUACUGAUUUUGACUAAUCAACAGAGAUAUUACAGCAAUUCAAGUAUAUAACCCUGUCAAAUUUACCAAAGCUGCAGAGCAUACAAAUAUGGAAGCUCCCUUGAAAUUGUUUUCUUCUAUAAGUAAUUCCAAAUUUCCAACAUCAUCGUGGCUCAGAUGUUCUUUAGCUUCAACCAAUACGGAAAGUGAAAAUGCCGUUAAGCUAACAACGCAAGGUACUGGCUUACAGGGACUAUAAGUGUGCGGAAAAAAAAAACAUGAUAAGAUUGUAGAAGGAUUGGGGUGUCCAGCACACAGUUGGCACUACCUGAAGUGUUGGAAUCCAAGUAGAACGAAGGCUCUUACCCCAUCCUUCGCAUUUUCGAUUUAAGGGACAUUUCCUUGUAGGAACUGACCUUCUCAGCGGCCUUUCGCAGUGGCCUUCCAAAUGAAGAUCUUCUCUGGAGUUCCUCAUUUACUAACUUCGGUGAGCCACUCAAAUCCUCUUCCUCGUUCUUCACUUGAAUCAUAGAACCAUUUGCAGAAUCCAGUUGAAUAGAAAUGUUCUCAUCUGAUGACUCACCGAUUGACUGAACUGGAACUUUGACAUCCUCUAUUGUACGCAAGCUCUCCACGGGUUGAUAUGAUUCAGGUGUCAAAUUGAUCGAUCUCCUUCUUAGGGAUAGCCUAAUUUAAUUGAAGCAGUGAGGAUGCAGUUCUACCCUACAAGAGCAAGAAAAAAAGCAUCCAAAAGAAUUUAUUACCUUCUUCCGUCGACCUUUUCUUCUGAUGGUACUUGAUGGGUCAGAGUGGCAGAGCCUAGCAUAAGGAAAAACAUAAAUGUUAAGUGAAGAAAUGAAAGAAGAGGACUGAACAGAAAGAUCAUACAUGAUCACAUUUUAUCUAAUAACAACUAGUAUCAAGGAAAUUACACUGUGCUUUUAACUUGCACUUCCUAUUAAGGUUGGAGGUUUUCUUAUCAGUUGUCGUAAAUGCACCUGCUGCAACCUCACCGUGGUUGGUUCCUCCCUCCUUGUGUGGAAAUUUGAGACAACAAUUAUGAGCAACAAUUGGAUCAUCAAAAACAAAUUUUGAUUUAGAAUGCACCUUAGAGCCAACCUUCUGACAAAUUUCUUUAUUCAACUUUUCUUUCUCCUAAAAUUAAAAGAAAAAGACCUCAGUGUAGUAGAUCAGAUAAAAUAUUGGCCAAGGUAUAUUCAAAUGGUGAGUAAAGUACCUCCAGUUCUGAGGUCUUCAAUUUAAGGGCUGCUCUGGUACAACCAAGCUCAUGUUGUAAUGCUUUUAGCUACAUAGCAAGACAUAACAAGUUAAGAUAUUCUAAAUCUCAGAGAAAAUUAUAAACUUGUUCAUUAUGAGCUGCAGUUUACAAGAAUUCUACCAUAGAAACGGAACACUAAAAGUGCAAAAGAAACAAAAGCAGGUGAUCUAAAAGACUCACUCUAUCUUUCCCUAAAUUAAGCUCCUGCAAACAAAGAAACAUAAAAGAAUGAUAACGCUGAAAACAUCGAAAAAUCUUAAACGAGAAAGUAUUUGGCCAAGUUAUAGACCGCUAGCAUCUGAGAGUUAGCUCUAGCUAGCUGCCAAUUUUGUUGGUUGGUUUUCUGUAAUUGGAGCUCAAGUUUCUGCAACUCAAUGCUGCUCAACCGAAUGAUCUCACUGCCAACAAGAAACAUUUCAAUCAUUCUUUGGACCACGAGUUUCAUACACAAGUAAGGAAUCAAACUAAUUCAUAUUUAGGGAAAUUUACUGACUUCCUCUCAGCGAGAAGCUUCAACAAAGAGGUAUUUUCCUGAAGUAAAACAAAAAAAAAAGACAAAAAAAAACAUACUUUUGAGCACAACAAAAAAAAAUCCAAGAAAAGAAUUAAUAGUAGAUUAAGUCUGAAAAGGCAAAAGUCGUGCACCUUCAUCAACUGAGAAAUGCAGUCCUUGGGUCUCGGAGAAGGCAUCACGUUUGCGUUUUCCUUAUCGUCAUCAGAGCAGGACGUGCGGCUGAUUCCAAUCCCUGCGGAACUCACGGUGUUGGUGAUAUCCGACAGCCCAUUCCUCCUCACUGAGCUCCCCAUUAAAGGUCUCUUCUGGGUAUUCUCCCGUCCAUGAUUCGCUCCUACAAUUAAAUCGACCCAUUAUCACGAUCAUCCAAAAAAACUGAACCCUAACCCUAAAAUCAGGAGGAACCUAAGGAUCAAAAUCCAUAGAAAAAAAUCGAAACUUUAGGAGGUUAGCAUAGAUGAGAAAUGAACUAAAAGGUACCAGUGGCGCCCGAGUCGGCGUUGAUUAGCGAGCGAGCACGGACGCCACCAUCCAUGGAAGAUCGAAGAACAAACAAAUCAAGAAAAGCCUCCACCACCUCCUCCUCCUGCCUUUCUCUUCCUCAGAGGAGGGGUUCAAUCCGAACGGGGAUGCAGAAUAGGUGGAAGAGAUCUGUGCUGAAUUCCUCGAUGGGGAGAACCGGAGGAGGAGAUGAGAAAGACCGAGAUGCAACUCCGACCGUCCUUUUCAAAAUCGACAGAAACCGCGCCUCUGCUACUUUCUGCGUCGGGGUCCCUUUUCUAACUGGGCCGUAUAGGCCGGCCCAUAGACAGGUCUAAUCGACGUCCAAUAUGAAACCCAUCUCACGUCCCGUUUCCCGUUACCCCGAUUGCCCCUUCGGUCCGUUAGAUGACAGGGCGUAGAAAAGGCAGCGACGACAACGAUUUCCUCGGCCGCUGCCACCUCCGCUCCCUACACGGCCAUCACCUCCUUGAGGGGCGGCUCCGACGGGUUCGCGCGCGCCCUCAAAAUCGAUGGUUGUUACAGUCCUCAAGGACCGAGCCACUACGGCAUCCCCUUGGUCCUCUUCGUCUCCCCACACGACACCGUCGCGGCCGCCGAUCCACUACGGCAUCAACCGGGGCCGCUCGCUUUCCGAGACCAAGGGUUCGAGGUCGACAACUAGGCACCGGUUUGUGGGACCAUACGAUGUGUCAUCCUAUAUUUUCCACGAGUCCGUAAUCCGGUGUUGCACGAUACGAUGAGUACACGCAGGAUGGGGGUAUCCAACACAAGGCUUUGUUGAAAUUCGUGCAAUCACCUGAUCGGCGCGGCAAGCACUGCACCACCAGAAUACUAAUCACUAAGCGGAUUUCAUGAACUCUACUCGAGAUUUAGACCCACUCCAUAUGACUAUAUCAUGAAUGCAUAAAAUUCUUCCUCCACUUGUUCGUAUGUCUAAAAUUAUCGCUGAUGAGACUGAUCCGUCAUGUAAGCACGACUUCGCUGUGCGUCAAAUAAGUUCUUGACGUCUCGCUUUCAGCGGUUUCCCAGCAACUUCGAUUGCAAUUCCAAGAUGAAAUGCGUGCAAAUUUCCUGAGAUGCAUCCGAACGCACUUGUCGGGGGACGAUGAUCCACCACCGUGAUGCCGCCACGUGUCGUGGAGACGCAACGGGCCUCUUUCCGCGACGAAAGCGCCGGUCCACAUCCGACGGCUCUCCCACGCCCAACGAACUCAUCAUGGAUCUCGCCCCGCCAUGCCCAUGAAUGACGACCAUCCAUCGACACCCAUCACGUAAUGAGAGGACCCCCGCAGGAAACUCUCGUUUUCCCCACAUGAUCUAGCCGUCGCGGUUUACUUAAGAGGGCAGUUGGGCCCCGCAUGGGUCCCUUUGAGAAGACCUCACUGAUUACAUGGGUGAGUUAUGGGGUACAAGUAGGUCGGGUAUCGCAAAUUUUUUGUGACCCGAAUACUCGACGUGCAGCUGCCCCUGUUAUAUGAUACCUUCGUCUUCCAUUUCCCAUCCAUCCACUGUCCAAGCAGGAGGGCGAGCGGCAGCCAUGGCCAAGGCAGGGUUUCCAUCUGCUUUAAUUCGUCCCUUACAUUAAUCGUCAGUGUUUCUUCGUUUCUUAAUCCAGUGGCCAUUCAACUUGACCGCAGAAGAAGAAUAAGGGAGGUGAGAACGGGGAGGCGGCGGCCGGCAACCCAGCAGGAGGAGCAGGACGAGGAGGAGAAGGCGGCAAUGAGGAGAAAGACGCCGGCGGUAGCAUUACGGUCGUGUUGAAGGUGGACAUGCAUUGCGAGGGCUGUGCCAAAAAGGUCAUCAAAUCCGUCAAGGGCGUUCAAGGUGCGUGCGAAUCUCCAGCUCCCAUCGAUUGCGGCCGAUGAAUCCGUCGCGAAGUGCCAUCCGAUUGCUUUGAUUCCGCAGGCGUGGAAGGGGUGAAAGCAGACGCCGGGAGCGGGAAGCUGACGGUGAUGGGAAAGCUGGACCCGUGGAAGCUCCGCGAUCGGGUGGAGGCCAAGACCCACAAGAAGGUGGACCUCGUCUCCCCCGCCAACUUUCCCAAAAAAGGCGCCGACGCCAACGAUCCCUCCUCCUCCUCCGCCAAGAAGCCCGCCGCGGUCAAGAAACCCGACGACAAGAAACCCCAGGACAAGGCAUCACGUCUCUUCCUGCAUUGUAUCAUCGUCCUUCUUCUUGAUUCCAUCAAUCCCUCAUUUCUUCUCUUCUUUCACGAAAACCUAAGCUUGCGGUGACGACGGUGGUGCUGAAGAUUCGUUUGCACUGCGAGGGUUGCAUCCGACGAAUCCGGAAGACCAUCACCAAAAUUAAAGGUUAUUUCAAAUCCUUUUUUCCCUUUAUAUUUCUGGAGCAAAAAAAGCUACGCUCGAUUGUAGAAAGGGAAAUUAUUCCCCAGAAAGUGGCCGAACUUUUUCUACCAACUGGGCCUUAUUUUUCGCCGUCAGAUUGAACGAGUACGGCUCUGAUCGUCCUGUAAUAGCAGCACCGAAGAAUAUAUGCAGGCUUUUAGAUUAUUCUCUUAUACCCAAACUUUUAUCUGGUAAUCACGCUUGUAUCACUCAGGUGUGGACAGCGUGGUCUUCGACACCCAAAAGGAUCUGGUCACCGUCAAGGGGACGAUGGACGCGAAGCCGCUGCCAGAGGUGCUGAAGGCGAAGCUGAAGCGGGACGUGGAGAUGGUGCAGCCCAAGAAGGACGGCGGCGAGAAGAAGGAUAAGGGCGGCGGAGGCGAGAAGAAGGAGAAGGGUGGUGGUGGUGGCGGCGGCGGAGGAGGAGGUGGCCAGAAGGAGACCAACGCAAAGGCGGCCACGGUACCGGAGCCUCCGAACGAGAUGGACUACUACGCGGGUUACGGUUACCGCAUCGAGUUGGUGCACGCGCCGCAGCUGUUCAGCGACGAGAACCCCAACUCGUGUUCCGUUAUGUGAGACGGUUUUGCUCGCCAUUGUUCUCUUUUCGUUUUCGUAGUUAAUGAUGAGAUUUGAUGUGGCGAAGGAUAUAACAUGUAUGCCCUUUCUAAUGGUACGAUCUACAUUACCAUACUUUUGCUAUAAAUGGGAUCAUUCGAGUGAUGCAAGCUGGGGUUAUAACAUGUAGAUGUUUAUGGUACCAUGAUAUCAUCUUAUGUACGUAAGUGGCCUUCACUAAUAACAUAAGCUGCUUAAGGGUACAUUUACGAACACAGGCAGCAUCCGAAGUAUAUUUUAAAUAUAAAUUUAUGUUUGAUAAUUUUUUCUAAAAUCAUACUUGGCCUUCUAUUGAUAAUCUUUAGAUGUUGAUGUUAUCAUAGAUGUCGGUGAACUCACGCACCAUUGAGGUGGUGCUGGGCUGCCUCACAAUUGAUUCCGAGUAUGUCUUUUGGGGACCAUGUAAAUACAUCUGCAUUUUUCUUUAGAAAAUCGAAAAGCUAGACUUGGUUCACUUCCGGCAGCGUCGUCCCGACUUUUACGGUCAUGUCGGGUCGAUCCCUUCUCAAGGGGACUUCGACGAGCUAUUCGACUGGUCCCGAGUGUGCCGGUACUCUAGCUUCUUCAUGGGGAUCCGAGGCUUGCUGGGGUCACGGCUUUUUUGGGAGAGCGACUGCUGUUAGAUAGCACCGCCUUGACUCCCUGGGAUCACUUCGGGCCACCCCGACUCCUACUGACAUUGAAAAUUUGAUGGCUCGGUGAUACGUGGAGACCACCACUCUCAAUUUAUUGAGUGUUGGGCAGUUGAUGAUGGCAUUAUACACAGAGGGAAGAUCGACUACCAUGAAGGUGGUCAUUGCCGUCUUGGUUCCCAAUUCUUCCUCGAUGGUAACGGGGAGGAUAGUGGUCCCAAGUGGGAAGAUCACCGCUCUCUUUACCCGAGCGUUGGUGAUUUGAAUGGAGAUCACCAAAGCGUCGUCAUGGUGGGAGUAUUCAACUUCUUCGAUUUCGAAGGUCAUUUCGAAUUCAGAUUCAAAUUUGGGGUGCUUCUCCACCGUGCUUCGAGCAUAGGCCUUCCUCAUCAUUGUGCUGCUGCCUUCGGAAGCCGAUCCGCCGACGAUGACGUCGAUUUGCCUCUCGAUAGGGCCGUCGGGGCAUAGCGAUGCUUCUCUUGGCUUCUUAAGGUAGCGCCCGAGGUGACCUCUUUGGAUCAACUUCUCAAUUUGAUUUCAGAGGUUGUGACAGUCUUCGGUAUCAUGGUCGUAAUCCUAGUGGAACCUGCAAUAUUUAGAUCGAUCAUUGUUAGUAGCUUUCAAGGGGUUGGGUUAUCCCAAAAGCUCUUUCUCCCUGAUAUGGAGAAAUAUCUCAGUACGAGAAGUGUUCAAAGGUAGGGGCCAGGGUCUCGGGAGUAGCUGCUCGAGUCGGUUAGGCCUCCUGCAGGGUUGAGCUGUUGAUGACUCCAAAGUUGCUCUUCAGGCCUAUUCCACCCUCGACCUCUUGCUAUCCUCGCAUCUUCCUGCCAUUAGGGUCUCCGCGACGAUGUACUGAUUGGCACGUUGGAGCAUCUCGGGGAUGGUUGUAGGUGGCUUCUCGAUUAGUGACCAGAAGAACCUUGAGGGUCGUAGGCCCAUCAGAAAUGCCUACAUAAUUAGAGAGGGAUGAGUGUCAGGGAACCCUCGGAUUUCAGCGGCGAAGUGCACGACGAAUUGGGAAAGUGAUUCGCCCACGCACUGGGACAAUGCGAGCAGUGUGGCCAUGGAAGGCCUGGGUCGCAUGCUGGCCAAGAAAUUUUGCUUGAACUCCCUUGCAAGCUAAUCAAAAGAAGAGACCGAGGCUGGUUGUAGUCGGCCAAACCACAUCCGCACUGGUCCUCUGAAGGUGGUUAGGAACGCUCGACACAUCAGGGUGUCGGAAGUGCCAUAAAGGGCCAUUUGAGCCCGAAAUAUAGUGACGUAUUCCAUUGGGUCGGAGCCACCAUCGUACGUCUCUAGUCUCGGAAGUCUGAAGUUGAGCAGCAUGGGCAAGUCUUGGAUUUCUUGAGCAAAAGGGGAUCCACCUGAACUGUCUUCCUCAGUCUCAUCGCGCGACUUCUGGAAUUUACGCUAGAACUCAUCUAGGCGACAAUUGACCACGGACAACUGGACCCUGAAUGAGUUGUCGGUCGAGUCUGAUGAUAGGGUGUCGGGCUCGAGGAGCGAUGGUAUGGCUUGGCAGGAUGCAAGUGCACUUUGCUCAGGGAGGUUUCUAGGGGCUGCGGCCUGCUCUUAGGCCUCUCCUAUCCCGACCUGUUCCACGUUCGGCCUCUACGGUGUCGGGUCGAUCAGGGGAGCUGCUAACUAUAUGAUCUGCGGGAUGAGUGGGACGACCAUUUGCAUCAUCCCCGCCAAGGUUUGUACUUGUUUGGCUAAGCCAAGGAACGUCUCGGGUGAGACGACUGAGGGUCCUAAAGUGUUUCUAGGAGGAGAGAGUCUUGGAUCGUUGAACAGAUGCCAGUAGUGAUCCGGCAUCGACGUCAGGAUGCCUCCAUCCUUGGGAACGGGGAGGGGCUGCUCUCCAAGCCCGAAAGGGAGGUGAACAGUAGGUGGUUCUCCUUCAGGGUGAGCUCUUGCAGGAUGUUCCUACGACAUUAGCCCUCCUUCUAGCGCCAAAAAUGUUGGUGAACUCAUGCGCCGUGGCAGAGGAGUCAGCACAACUUAGUCCACGGGUAGAUGUCCGGAGUCAUCGAUGUUCAAGAGUGUGUUUCUCGGUUGAUUUGAGGCGGUGUCGAGGUCGGGUUGGAUCAGAGGUUGGGGUGGCAGCUACUCCAACAUGGGAUUGAGCUAGCUCGGGCAUUCCCGCAUCCCUGGACAUAAGCCCGAGUCUAGGGAUUCCUGACUUGGGCCCCUCGUAGAUCAAAUCAGUAGUCUUUUUUCUUCCCCCUAGGCAGAUGCCAGUCAGGGGCUUUUAUACCGGUGUCCGAGGGUCGGUCGUAUGCGGAUUUGGCAUGACAACCGACCCCCCAAGUGACGAGUAUGUACCUUCAUGCGGUCGUCCCUCGGUAUGCACGAAACGACGCCAUGUGACACCGUCCCAAGUUUUUCGGAACGAGACUUGUCAAGAGGUCGCCUCCCUGUAUGAGCUUCGACUUGAUGCGAGAGGAAGGCGGUCCUUGUGUUGAGGGCCAGUGUUCGUGUUGACGCUAGAGGUGGAUCGUGACGUGGAUCAUAACGCCUUCGAGAUCCGAAAUACGCCUUAUCGGUAUAGUAGUAUUACCAUUUCAAUAUUUGUGGGAUGCUAAUGAAUUUAUUUUAAUUUUUUAAAAUAUCUUAUAACAUCAUCUAUCUUAUCGUAUUACUAAUAUCCAGAAUGGUACCAACUCUAUUCUUUAAUUUUAUAGCUUACUUUUCCUAAGAUAUCUUUUAAUUUCUUCCCUAAAGAAAAAUUAAUGUUGAUUUGCCAAUUAUUUUUCUUAAUAUAUCUUAAUACAAUAACAUGAUUUAAUGAGAAAUUAAAAUGAUUUAUGUCUUCUAUAAAGUGAAAAUUUACUUAUUUAUUUUUAAAGAUUAUUUAAUAUUUUUAUUUAUUGUAUAUCUGGCUUAUAAAUUUUUUUAUAAGAUUACAUACAUACAUUCAUUUAUUUUAUUAAUUUAAAUGGAAAAUAUUUAUUCACUUUUGAAUAAAUAAAAAAUUAUUAGAAUGGUAAAAUUGUCAAAUAAUAUUCGAUAAAUUUUUAAAAUACAAUUUUACCCAACAAAGACACAUUUCUGCACAUUCACUAAAUCCGACCUAACCACGAUUAAGAGAUUGGUCGAAACGAGACGAAGUAGAUGCAAAUUGGCACUACUUAAGCAAGAAUGUCCGACGUGUUGCCGUCGGCACCGUCAAACAAGAGCUCAUCGUCGCUCCUUACCGUACUUUCUUGCGGUCGUCUCUUGUUACAAUAGCAUCAACAUCGCCGUCAUCUUCAUCCAAGUCGAAACUAUUCACCUCAUCCCGCCGCCACUCUUUCUGGAGCCUCGUUUCACCGCUCAUCAUCCUCCUGCACGCACUGCAUGAUUCGUAGUCUUGACAGUAUAUGAAGCUUCUCAAACUUGAAUUUUGCUCGACCUGCUCCACCAGUAAUUCGCCUACGAUGUUAUCCAUCCAUUUCUUUAGUGGCAUGGCUUCCCAUCCCUCGUUGAGAUACACCAGGGAAUGGGAUAGAUUGCACACCUCAAGAUGCUUCAUGCACAUGCAUAUUAACAUUAGACUUGCUGCGGACACGGUGCAACACCGCAAGCUCAAGACCUUCAAACGGAGGUACAUUGAGAUGGCUGACGCGAAUUCACCGUGGAGGGAACCCAUGACCUUUAGCUCAGUCAAUCUCUUGCAGGACCUAUUUAUCGUCUGGAUGGUGUGCAGGGGAGAAGCCAUGUCAGGCACGGUAAUCGAUUUCAAUCCUCUCCAGUUCUUUAUGGCAUUGCAUAUUGCAGCUUUGCUGAUGCGUUCCAUACAGGGCAGGACGAGCCUUUUAAGACGAGGACAUCUAUACAAACCAACAAAGAGCAUAUAUACAUAGAAGAAGAAGAAGAAGAAGAAGAGAAGAAGAAGAAGAAACAAAUGGACCAAUUACCCUCGAGCAAUGAGGUUCAACUGCUCAUCGUUCAUAUGCAAGCUGGGAUGGAAUAUGAUGCAUCUUACGUUUGCUCGACCACAAGCCACGACAGUCCUCAGUGCUUGUGGCAACCUAAGCCCUGUAUCCACCCUUACGAAGUUCGACUGUAGAACCUGGAGAUCGACCAUUCUCCAAAGUGAUGAAUGUAAAGCAGCCAUUUGCCAUGAUUGGGCAACUCGAGCUACAGUACAUCGAUCCAUCGGAUUUAGUUCUUUGAAUACCUCCAUAAGAAUAUCAAUAUGUAGAUCCCCCCAUCCUUUUAGCUUAAAGGUAGUGAUGCUUGUCAUUUUUCUGGUUUAAGGUGCAGCAAGCGACACUAUGAAAGAAAAAGAGGAAGACAAUAUUAACAGAAGAGUGGAAAUGCUUGCAGAAGAAGAAUGGUCGGUCACAAAGCAAGAUGAAUUGACAUGCAUUUUUUUUUUAUUUUUUUGUAUUUAAUAGGUCCUUUUAAUGAACAGUAAAACGGGUGAAAAAAAACUCAAAUAUCUACAUCACAUUAGAAAAAUAGAGCAAAAAAAAAAAAUAAAUAUCCAUAUUUCAACUCAAUCUCAAGCACUUGCAUGAAUUGACUUGUUCCAUGAAGGUCAACGAAGAAUUAAAUUUAUAUAUAUGUUGAUGAUUUAGACAAAUAUUUUAGCUCCUUUUCUAUGCUUAUUUAUAGAUCUCUCUCAUAACAUUCGAGUAAAUAGUCAAAUCAAAGUAGCAUAUGAAGAGAUAUUAUUAUUAGAUAUACGAGAAAUCCUUUCAAUGAUCUUUUGGCAGUAAGAAACUCAGAUCUGAGUAGAAAAGAUUAAGAAAGCCAAAAAAAGAAAAUAUAACAUUACCGGAUCCACAAAAGAUGAUCACCUAAUGCAUUUGGGUUUCUCUCUCUCUCUUAUUUAUUUAUAAGGCUGACCGGACAUCGUAGAGGAGAGGAUGUAGGCGGAGCCUUCCGAUUCGCGUGAUUAUAAAUGAUAAAUAUUAAUAUCAAUUGUUGCAAAUCAGUAUAUUUGACAUUAGGGAGAUUUACCAAAUCCUAAACACAUGCGUUUUGUGUCACAUUAUAUAAAUAUAAUAUAAUAAAUAUAUAAUAAUGACAUGACUAUUAUUUUUUAUCAAUCAAGACAUCAUCAUCAUGUGUGGAGUUUAAUCAACGCCACAUUUGUGUUAUCUACUGAAGAUAAUAAAAAGCCGAAUGGAUUUGUUAUAUUAGCAUUAUAUCUAAAAUAAAUACUUUUUAUUAAAUUAGUAGUUAUUAAAAUGACAUUGUAUAAAUCAGCCUCUCCAUUUAUGUCUUUAUUAUGAAAGCAUUCAAGUGAAUUUGCUCUUUUAAACUACUUACAAAUUUACAAAUUUACGAUAUAAUUUUUUACAUGAAUGAAUUAAAAUAGGAUAUAAUUUUUUUUAAUCUUAAAAAAAAUUCGUGAAAUCAUGGAAUCAGUUAACUAAAUCGACUGAGACCAAUCAAACUCGAGCCUAACAAACAAUAGGUUAAGCCAAGUGCGACAAGCCGAGUUUUGAUAGUGCUUUGUCCAAAAAUCGAUCAUCCAAUCGACUAAUCCUUGUCAAAAAUUAAAGAAAUUGCUGAAAAAAAAGGUUUUGCUAAGUUUAAACCUAACCUGAUUAGCCUAUUUAAACCUAAAUCUUUAUCUUAGAAAAUGAAAAGUUGUGAAACUUGUUAUUUUAAAUGAACCUUAAUACUUGAAAAAAAUAAUCACCAUAUAGAGUGUGAUAUUUUUACCAUCAUAUUAUAUAAUGACUUAUGAUAAAUGAAUAGCACAAAUAUGCAUAUAAGACAUGUUUGUGUCUAUACCACCCAAUGUAUUUAAAGUAUCCUUUUGUAUAUGAUCCAUUUAAUCAGGACAAAAAAAUUCAAAAUGUUCAUCGUAACCAAUCAUGCUAAAGCGCCCUUACAGUAUGUAAUAUAUCCAACAUGAUUAAAAGUAUCUUGUUUAUGCAUAAUAUAUUUGCUUAAGAAAAAACAAAUUAAAAACACCAAUAUUACUCACAAAACCAAAGCAUUUCUCUUACCAAUAAUACAUCUGCCUACAACAAGAAAGUAUCAAAAACUCUUGAAACAAUCAACAAAGCCAAAACAUCCCUCUUAAUCAUGAUGUAUUUAACUUAUAAUAAAAAAAUCCAAAACAUAUCCCUUUUUGAGUGUGAUGCAUCAAUCUUAGGAUAAGAAAAUAUUAGAAACAUCUAACAUGAGUUAUCAAGUGAAGGCAUAUGUCUCUUGUUUGUAAUAUGGAUAACUCAAAUAUCAAAUAUCAAGUCUAAUCAAUAUCUAUUAGAUAUUGCUAGGACAUGUUAUAUCAACUAUCAUUCAUCGUGACCUCUUCAUAAAUGAUGAAAUAAUAGAAGAUAAGAAUAAUUAUUGAAGAAGUGAAAAGGCUUAAAUAUAUUAAUAUGUCCAUCUCCUAUUUAUACAGAUUAAGAGGAAAGAUUUCAUCAACAGAAUAGAAGAUUUUCCUCAUCAAAAUUGGAGAAAUCUUAUUUUCUAUCAAUAUAUGCAUUUAUUUUGAAUCGAAGCUAAAAAAAGUUAGCACUUAAACUACUUGACCCUCAAGAGAUGUAAUUGGAUAAACUCAACGUGAUCUUUUGUAAGAACUAAAAAGAUUAUAUGAGAUAUAAGAUACAUGCAUUUUUGUACCUUGAGAAAUCUUACUCAGGUUGACGAUCAAAAUUGAGCAUAUGAAUACUUUAUAUGUUUUAUAAAGUAUUUUGAUGCUAACUAAAAUUUUAAUUAAUAGAUUAAUUAAUGAUCAAAUGAUGCACAUUAACUAUAAGAACUAUAUGCAAUCUCUUUUCUCUUUUUCUCAAAGCCAUGUUGAAGAUAAAAAUAAAGGGUCGACCAGUAAUAAAUGAAUUCAACCUUGAGGUGGGCAACAACAUAAGGACUUGCUAUGUUCUUCCAUCGGUAAAAAUGAAUCAGUAUGGAACAACAUAGCAACCAUUCUCUCUGCUCUCUUUGUUCUUUUUCUAUUUUUUCUGUUCUUCUCUCAUUGCAGAGCUCGCAUGGUGGGGGGAGUUGAUGGAAGAAGAGGUUUAUUGUCUCUCCAAAGUGAAUAACAAGCAAGCUGGCCAAGUAGAAUGCAAAGAACCUACAUAGGUUGGAGGGUAAACUGGCAAAGCUCCAUUUUGUCACCAACAAGCAGGUAAGUUGUACUUAUCUUUCACAUUUAAGACAAUAUUUGUUUCUCAUAUAUGUUGUGAUGCUUUCAAUACAUGUGCUAUUUUUGAGACUGAGACUAACUUGGUAGAAUAACAAGUUCUUCAUUGGUCAUUGCAAGAUCCCAAAGAGCAACAACUGUUUACAUGAUUCCAAAACAAGCAGUUCUAGGUUUUGGCAGAAUCACUGACAGAAGCCUCUGCAGCCUGGCAAAUGAGCCCCAGGAGGCUCCCAGCUUUCCUCUUGGCCCUUUCUGUGCCAGUCUCAACAAGCUCUUUUAACACCUCUUCUGCUCCCCCCUCCUUUGCAGCCUCAAGGUUCUCUUCAACACCACUGCACAAUGAAAACAACAGCGCGGCAGCGUUCUCGCGAACCUGCGCUGAUCCGGUCUUCAUUAGCUUUAGCAAAACUGGAGUAGGGUCUGAAUGUGCGAUCGCCACCUUGCCUUCUUGAAUACUUGCAAGAAUUGCCAGUACGGCUAGUGCUUCAUCGACCAGACUAGCACCAGGAUCGUCCAGCAUCGUCAUCAAGUGUACCACGAUACCGGCUUGCAGUGCGACAACCUUGUUACCAGGAUAAAGGCAGAGAUUAAAUAUCGCAGUGGCCGCGUCUUUCUUGCCUCUUGGACUGCCUUGGCACAGCAGACUGAUAAGUGCAGGUAUAGCCCCAGCUUCCCCUAUGAGGGCUUUGUUUUGAUCUACAGUUGACAAACUAAAAAGAGUAGCGGCAGCAUUCUCCCUUGCUUCCAUACUCUCGCUUUCAAGCACCUUUACUAUCUCGGGUAUUGCCUUCUCUUUUACAAUGAUACCCUUGUUAUCGCUAUUUAUCGAAAGGUUAAGAAGUGCUGUAACUGCAUGCUCUUGUGUUCUUGGAUCUGGAGAUGAAAGGAGUUGUUUGAGUAAGGGGAUUGCACCUGCUUCAGCGAUAGAUAUUCUAUUGUCCGCAUUUCUUUUUGCUAGUAAUCGGAGUUCGCCAGCAGCUGCUCUUUGCGCUUCUUGGUUUCCAUUUGCCAACUUCUGCAGUAGUAUGUUGAUCCCAUCACGACUAAUAUCAGAAUUGUUUGCUGGCUUCCUAUCUUGGUGACCACCUUGCGUUUUGGGCAGUUCGAUGCCAUUGGCAUCACACCAUUGUGCAAUUAAGCUCUUCAAAACGAAAUUUGGGGUGACAGCAGUGUGGGAUAGGUAUUGUUGCGUCUUGGGGCAGGUCUUGUGUCCACUGUCGAGCCACUUCUGGAUGUAAGAUCUUUCAUAUGUCUGCACAAAUAAUCACAUUACUAGGUUAUCAGAAAAGGUUAAAACAGAGUCCAAGUUUAUUCCCGAUUACUUGUCCUGUGGAGACGAUGACGGGAUCCUUCAUCAGCUCAAGAGAAAGUGGACACCGGAAAUCAUCUGGGAUCACCGGAGAUCUAUGCUUUGCAAAGCUAGUUUUCCUUUCAAUGCUGGCAGAAGUUGGAUCCUCCAAGAGUGAACAAUCUUUAAGCUUCUUCAGCAGUGACGACAUUUCCUCCACAGAGACAUCAGGCUCCCCAACACUUGAAAUUACCAUUUCGUGCAGAGCAACUGACUCCUUCAUAAUGUCAUUCUUAUUUUUGAGUUGAAGCUUCUCGGAUAUUCUCUUGAGGAUGGUAGGAUCACAGUGACCUUCAUUUAAUGCUCUAUUUAAAUCUCUGCUAAGUUGUAAAUCACGUAAGUCCAUACUUUCUUUAGCUCUAUGAAGCUGAGCAUGCAAUAGCUCAAUCUGCAAAUGUUAAGUAAUUAGUUCUUAUCCAUGCACAUUAAUGAAUGAAUUUUCAGAGACAGAGAACAAGAAUACUCAAUUUAUAAGGCUUUUCAUCAAUUGGAAUGCGAUGUGCCUUUUUCAUAGAAGAUGGGAAAGGAAAAGUGAUAGAAGAGGCCAACUGACCUACACAAGCAACAUGCACCAAAAUGUCCUUAACUUUUUAAGUGUCUUGUGUUCGAUACACUUAACAAAGUCUUUUGUAGAUAUAAUUUGUUUGUCGUUUGGCAUUUUUGUUGUUUUGACUAUAUUUUUCCGUUAGUGGAGCCUCGUGCAUGUGGGCCGCCCUUUUUAGUUUUCUUGUUGUUUUGUGUUUCUCUUCAAAGAAUUCUAGAGUGAGGAUAUCCAUCAUGAAUUCUAUUUUCAGUAAUAAUUAUAAAACCUAUCAACACUUACAAGGAAAAACACUUUUUACGAAUCAUAUCAUGUACCAAAGUGAUUUAAGAUGCAAACAUAUCGGAUUUGAGAUGCUAAACUGAUAUCAUAGUUCCAUCAGAGCAUAGUGAUCCUGGUAAAAAUGAUACCAAAACCAAUUAGUGUCUGAGUCACCAUAAUCAAGAUGACUUAAACAUAGUGCUUGUAAGAUUUAACACCAAUAUAACAAUUUUUUGGUAGUUUAUGUGGAAGGACAUUUAAAGAGAAAGAGAAGAUUCAAUUUAAUGAAUUGUAUUAGCAACGAGGGGAAGGAAAUCCAAGUAGCAGUCAGCAUGAAACUUAGAUUUUGCCAGUUAGCAUCCAUCAUUGACCGAAACAUCAACUCUACGACCAACAGCUUGAUUAACUACUAACUGGAGAAAAAUACAUAUUGCUAUGUCAAAUUGAUAACAUGCACUUAAGCUUAAUUCUUAUAAGAUGGAUGUCCUAAUAUAUGACCGCAUAAGCAAGUCGAUUAACAAAAUCCAGGAUUUUAUGUUUGCCCGAAAGGAUCAAGUAAGUGGUUGUUCAUCUUACCUGCUCUUUAACUUCAUCAGAUACAUUAAGCUUGUCCAAGCUAAUCUCACCGAGUGCCUCCUCAAUAGAUUCAGUUGCCUUAAGGAACAGCCGUUGAAAUUUUUGUGGCCGCAAAACCUGUCGACAACAAAUCAAGGGGAUUAAAGUGUGAUGUUGAUAAUGUUAAGAUCUAUAAGUUUGAGCCAAUAUGGUGAAGAUUAACAUAAAUGAGAUUGAAUACCCAAUUCAACCCAAAAGGCUUAAGCUUACUAAGCCGUAGGUCAAACCCAAUAUAUCUUUCCCGACUCUCUUUCAAUAGUUAGUCAUCUCCGAGACACAAAUAUUCUCUUAACAUAUAAAUGUUUUUAAAAGAAGUUGAGAAAAAAAGGAAUAAUUUAUGUCUACAAAUCAAAAGAUGUUAGAUUUCACCCAUUGAUAUCAUAAUUGGGGAUAAACCUUACAACAAAUUCAACACACUGGCAAUUGGGGUUUGGAGGCGAUUGCGGUCACCUGAUACAGCCUGCUCCCAUCGUUCACGGAUCGGAGGGUCUCCUUGGCCCCAGCGAGGGCGGCGUAGAGCGACUCGAGGCCGCGGAGCUCGGCCGGCCCGAGAGAGACGGCGUCGUCCCUCAGCUCGUCAAAAAGCGGGGCGAGGAGCUUAACCCGCCGCGCGAGGUCGCAGCACAUCUGCCGCAGCGGCCCGCGACUCUCCGGCAGAGCGGACACCUCCGCCACCACCUGUAGCAGGGUUUCCGCCACCGCGCCCCCGGCUCCGCCGCUCAUCUCCGUCUCUUUCUCCUCCUCCUCCUCCUUCUCCUGUGCUGCUGUCGGCCCCAUGUUCGACGAUAGAAGAGGAUCUCGAGAUGGAGCAAGAGCCAAGUAGAACCGCAGAAAACUAUCGAGGCAAAUGGUGGGCGGAGCGGCUGCUACAUCUCCAUGGCUGACUAUUUUGAUGCAUUCCAACCACAAUACUUUUCUUCAUCUUAUUAUCGAACAUUAGUAUCAUGUUUAUGACAAUCAUUAUGGCUAAUUUGGUAUAAAACCCACAAAAAUCAACAUCGCCUUAAGCCCACGAUCGUUGACUAACUACACAGAUCCCCUCCUGGUUGACUGAUUCGACGUCUACUGCUGACUUCAUAUACAGCGUUGCCCGUUCUGUUUGACUUUUCCGCUGAAGAUUUCAAGCUCCAGCGUGAUCUGUUUGAACCAGUUAUUCAUCGUCACAAAAAAAUCAUGGAGGAUUCACAUCGAUUACAGUAAUUGGCAUGACUAUUUGAAGUUCCGAGCCAUGGAAGAUGGAUGGCUACGGUUCUCGUACAGAUUCAGUCACAGUCACUGUGGUAGCUCUCUAAUAAUUCUCUCUAACUCGCUGGGCCGGCAGGGGAUGGCGAUGGCGCCCUCAUGCCGGAAGCCGAACUCCUCCUCCGCCAGCUCCAACAGCCUCAGGAACACCGGGUUGGAGAGGCAGCGCAGUGAGACCACGAACCUCCGGCGCUGCUCGUCCCACACCGCCACCACCGCAAACUGGCCCUCCUUCACGUCCUGCGGCACCGCCGCCGCAUCGGCCUCCUGCAGUUUCAGGCUUCGACCCGGUAGGCUGCUGCCGAGGUGAUCGCUCCUGGAGCAAGACAAGCUCCGCUGCAGCACCUUGGCCGCGCGCUUGAGGACGCCGUUGCUGCUCCCCAUGAACUUGGCCUUGGCCACGCCUGCCUUGAACAUGCUCUCCGAUGCCGGGUAUAUAAAUAGCUGCUGCGAUAGGGAGCACGAAAGCAAUGGGUCUGCUGUGUUCAUGCAUGGUUUGCUGUUCUCAGUUAACUGGCAAGAGCAGGGCCGUUUGCUGUUCCGACUAUUUGCAUAUUGUUGGGACAUUACAUUACGGCUUCUUGUCGUCGUCGUUCUCGGAAUGUAGCAAACUUGCUGCCGGAGGGAAACAGGCCUAACUUAGAUUCAAGUCAGAUCUACAAGUGUGAUGUGGACUUGUGAGUCCAUGUUUGCCACAGCCAGUAGGAUGCUAAAGCUUAUCAUGCGAUCUAAGAGGAAUCAGAGGACACUGAUCCUGUACUGGGAGUUUCUCACGAGUGAUCAUUCGUGUUCUCGGUAGAACUGCAAGGAUGAUUGAAGUAUACUGUGAUGUGAAGGUGAAAGAGAAGCGUCCAGAGGACGGAUCAUGUUGGAUUUUUAUAGAUAUAACAUGUCGUCCACAUAAACCAAACAGUGUCAUUUCUGCCUCCUUUGCUUCCUCUGUCAUCGGAUGAACGCCUUUUCCUGUUAAUUGGGUGAACGUGCAGUGAUGUGUGUCAAGAUUUAAAUUAUUAUUUAAAUAAAUUGAUUAGAUAAAAUUUUAAAUUUUUUAUUUUUAAAUAAAUUGAUUAGAUAAAAUUUUAGAGAUAAAAAUAUUUUAAUUUAAUUUAUUAUUUUAUACUUAUAAAUAUAUGAUAUCUAUAUGUAUAGAUUCAUCAAAGUCUUUAAGUGGUUACAUAUGUAGAACUCUAGUCAAAGAUUACCAAGUCAAAUAGUAAUAAUUUGUUACUACUAUGAGAAAGGAUUAUACUGUAAUUUUUGUAUUUUAAGACUUUUGUGUGAAGAAGAUAACUUUCUUUUUUACUAUGGAUUGAUCGGUAGAUUUGAUAUUAAACUUAUUAAUUAGUCUAACUAGAAGAUUUGUUUGGAACUAAUAUGUUAUAUAUACCAUUGAUCGGUGAGUCGACUCGAUUGGUUCCCAAUUGAAGGUGUAGAUGCAUCUUGAUGUCUCCUUACUGAUGUGGGGUAUUGAUGUGGCGAGCUAAAUAGAGGAAUGGAGGUCUUCCUUGCUACGAGAUCAUCGCCUGACUAUUAGUUAUCUCCUGCCCACUAGUGGUCCUGCACAACAGGUAUAUGCUUGGGGCUUCUCGACUUGAUCAUUUGGAUGCUUAAGUCAACACAAGAUAGAGAGGGGGGGCGAGAGGCGACGAGAGAGAGAGAGAGAGAGAACGGUAUAAGCUAUAUAAUAAAAUGAGUGGAGAGCCCCCCUUCUUCAGCGUAAGCUAUAAGUGGCUUUUAAUUAUACCUAGGCACUUGGUUAGGUUGACUGAUCUACGUAUUGGUUAAUCGAAGAUAAGAUCAGGUUAAUUGACAGAUCAUGAUAGCAAAAAUCUUUCUAUAUCCUCUUGUCCUCUAAUCCUAGUGAGGCGAGGGAGUUAAGGCGAGCGACUUGCCGAUGUGAUGCACUCGAAGAACUAUCGCGACUAUCGCCCUGUAGUCAAACUCCCUUCUUUUUGUAUAACCAGGGAAUGGUCUUCUCGUCCUUCAUCUGACAGGAAGGAUUAUUAAGACUGUGUCAUACUGCUAGCUAUUAAUGUGGGGCAGAUUCGGGCGUGCUCAUGACAUGGCAUCGUCAAGGAGUUGAUGACUCAAAGUCCUACUUAGGUGUCUACUUCUAUGGCGAAUGAGAUAGGAUUUUCCAUAUCAGAAAUCCUAUCUCAUUGUGGAGGAUCCAUCUGUUGUGGUUGGUGGCAAUACAACAAUAAUACCAUAUGCUUGCAUACGGAGACGCCAUAAAGAGAUAGAGGGCAUAAAAUACAAAAGCUGAACUUGCAUUAAAGAGAUCUAUCUCUCAUGAUCUCUUAGAACAUAUUAUUGGUUGCAAAUCAACUUCAGAGUUUUGGAUCAUUCUUAUUGCAUUGCUCAACAAGAAAAAUAUCACUCAGUUUUAAUAUUUGAAAAAUGAUUUUACAAAUACUAUCUAAGGUGAUCUUUUAAUUUCUUAAGUUUUUUAAAAAUUAAAAAUUCAUAUUCAAAGAUAUCAUUUUUAGAUCCAGUCUAUUUCUUAUGCAUGAUUAAAAUGUUAUAUUUUCAGUCUUUGAAAAAAAUAUAUUUCUUAUAUUAUAUCUAUUCAAUGAUGGAUUCAAUAACCAUCUUUAGUAGAGUUGAAAAAUCUUUUUGCUUCUUAGGAAUUCUUAACUCGUCAAAUAAUUAGUCUUUAUUUUAAGAGUAGAUGAAAAUGCUCUUUUUAUAAAUAAAAAAAAAGAGUACUGAUAAAGAUAAAAAAAAAUAAUGCUAACAACAAGCCAAAGUUUUCAUUGAACAAUGGAAUAAAUCAAAAGAAGAUCAAAUGUGAUAGGUGUCACAAGUUAAGCCAUAUAAAAAAAAAUAUUAUGUUAAGAUUAAAGGAGAAAAUAUUUUAAAUAAAAAAGAUUGUUUCAAUGUUACUGAUGAAAAUUGAGACAAAUGCUUUAUGAUUAAAACUACUAUAGUGGAGAUUAUGACAUUCAUCAAUUUCUAAUAUGAUUAAAUAAUUGAUUCAAGAUAUAUAAAAUUCAUAAAUCUUUGUCAAUAUACAUGUAAUAAUNNNNNNNNNNNNNNNNNNNNNNNNNNNNNNNNNNNNNNNNNNNNNNNNUCAACAUCUAACUCUUAAGUUGAUAGGAUGAGUACAAAUAAUGAUAUAUCAAUCUUGUAUGCUAGACUUGAUCAUAUAAAUAUUUUUAAAUUAAGAAUUAUGAUGUAAAAAAGUUUAGUUAAUGGUCUUUCUAAUCUUACUACUUCUAGUAAUAAUAAAGUUUGUGAAGGUUGUCAAUAUGAUAAAGCACAAAAAUAACUUUUUGAUAUAUCACUCAACAAAUUUUUAUUAGAGCUUAUUCAUUAGUGAUGUAAUAGGUCUUACUUAAACUCCAUCUUAUCUAAUUUUUCUCGUUAUAUGCUUUUUUUUAUUAUUGAUUUUAUAAGGUUUAGAAUAAGAAAUCAAAUUUUUUUUAAAUUUUAAAAGUUUAAAUUAAUAAUUAAAGAUAUUCUUAAAAUAAAAAUUAAAAUAUAACACAAAUAAUAGCAAGGAGUUCACUUCUAAUAGAUUCUUCUCUUUUUGCAAAGAACAUAUCAUCAAAAGGGAACUCACUUGUUCAAACACACCACAAUAAAAUAACAUACUAGAAUGAAAGAUUCGACGUCUCAUGGAGACGUGUAAGUAUUAGCUUCAUGCAAAAAAUUUAUUUAAAAUAUUAUAAGCAGAAAAAAUAGCAUGUACAAUUUAUGUUCAAGCUAUUAUCAUUCCAAUCAAUCUAAAGUCUCUAUAUGAGCUCAUGUUUAGUAGAACCCAAAUGUUAAAUACUUCAUAAUAUUUGUUUCUCCAUGCUAUAUUUAGUAGAACCUAAAUGUUAAAUACUAUGGUGAAAGGAAGAAAGGUUGAAAAUGUAUGAAUUCAUAAACACAUAGGUUUAUGGUAUCUCAAGAUAUUAUAUUUGAUAAAAUUUAUUUUUAUUAUCCUCCACAAGUAGUUUUUUUUUUUAAUAUCAAUCACAACAAUCCACACGUGUUAUCUGAGAAGAAGAAGGGGAAAAAAAAUAGGAGAUGACAAUUUGGAAGACCCGGCUUAUGGGCUUUUAAUUUCUUCCUAUUUAUAGAGGCUCAUAGUAAACUUUACCCUAAUAGAUCUUGCCCUAUUGGGUAUUGAAUCUCCAUCCAAUUACCCAAGCCUCUUAGAUUAGUAGGUCUCUACCUAAUAAUCUCUUAUUAGUUUUUAUUAGAUCUCAUCUAUAGGAUCUAAUAAUUCAGGGGCUUGUUGGAUAUCCAAUAAGAUAGGGGCUCCGAUGGAUAUCUUAUAUCCGAGCCUCUACUCAUCGUAACGCCUACCAUAUAUGUGUGACCCUCUAGGUCCAACAUCGAGCUGGUCAUGAGUUAUACCUAUCAAAACUCCGUCUAACUCAGUGAAUUAUUAUCUUCAUAAUAAUUCAUAAUUCACUUGACUCAUCAACUGUAGAUGUACUAGGCACUACGUUACAGUCAUCAAAUGAUACAAGGCAAUCCAAUCCUUUGGACCUCUCUGUCCUUAGUUACUGUAUACCUAUAGUCCCUUAUCCAUCUAAUAUCAUAGAGAUCAUAUACCAGGCAUGUUGCUGUCAUGUCCAUACAGUUUCUUCUCAAGUCUCGUUCUAAUCAGAUUCUCUUAAAGAACUCUUUUUCUCUUAAUCUGAAUGAUCUUGGCCAAAGAUUUGUUUGAGCACAAACACACAAGAUAUUUCUCUCAUGAUUAUAUAUUGACACUCAAUAGCCCCUGUAAGGUUAGCUGCCACUCCCAAUGAUAAACUAUACUAUAUCUAGUACUUCCAAACUUAUAAGUCUGGUAUCAAAGAAUGGAGUACUUAUGUAGGACAUCCUUAGUGUCUCAAGUCUAAGGACCAUAUAUACUAUUGAGAUGACGGAAUCGAUGUCUGACAAUGAGGUAUCAUCACCCAUCAAGUAUUCCGUAAGCAGAUUAAUUAGUGAACUCAUUCUCCAAUGAGCACCUGCACUGUAUCCCUAAUGUCCCCACACGAGCAGCUAUAAGACUAGCUGCCUCCAUCAUAUGGAUAGGUAUACAGUAUACUAGUCUCUUCGGUCAUCUCGAUGUCCCUGUCGAGUAACCUAUGAACAUAAUUAUUUAGAGUUUAUGUUUAAAAGUGAAUCGGUCUCUUUAUCGUGAUCUCAUCAUAAUCCGAUUCUCAUUGCACAGAUCUAUAGACAUCACAAUAUAUAUAUACAAUAAGAAAUAUAAAGUAAGAGAAUGUCAUAAUAAUAAUAAACAAAAAGACUACGUGUCAUGUCAUACGUGUCAUCACUCACGUGAUUGGCUUGUAGGGCACCUAUGAUUAGCAAUCUCUCACUUGACCUAAAGUCAAUCACCUACGUGUUUGAUCUUCAUCAAACCUCUGUGACGCUCAAAGACAAUCUGAAACAAUAGCUUUAUUAGUUGAUCUACAAUGUUAUCUUUAGAUGAAACUAUUUCCACUACUAUAUCUCUUCGGCCACGAUCUCUCUAAUAAGCUGGAACCUUCUCAGAACACUUCUGAUGAGACCCAAGUUCCCUCAUUUGAGCAAUUGUCUCGUGGUUGUCGCAAUAUAAGGGAAUUGACUCUUCGCUACCUGGCACGACUCCUAGAUCUGUGAUGAACUUCUUCAUCUAGACUCCCUCUUUUGCUGCCUUUGUCGUAACAAUGUACUCCGCUUUUGUGGUCAAGUCAACAUUAGUGUCUUGCUUAGAACUCUUCCAGCAUACUACUCCUUCAUUCAUGGUGAACCAUACCUUGAAUUAAACUUGCUAUCAUCAAUAUCAAACUGGAAGUUUAAGUCUAUAUAGCCCUCAACCCUAAGGCUACUUCCUCUUUAUAUCAAUAAAAGAUCUUUGGUUCUUCUCAAGUAUUUAAGGAUAUACAUUACUACUUUCUAGUGCUUCAAGCCUGAAAUAGCUUGAUAUCUGCUCGCGACACUCAAAGCAUACGUUAUAUCAAGCUUAGUAUAUAGCAUAGCAUAUAUAAUAGAUCCUAUUAUUAAGGUAUAUGGUAUCCUAUCUAUGUUUGCACUUUCUUCAAGAGUUUUGGGGACAUACUCCUAGAAAGCGAUAUCUCAUGUCUCAUUGGUAUGAUAACUCUCUUUUAAUUUUUCAUUCCAAACCUUUUUACAAUAGUGUUUAUGUACCUAGACUGGGACAAGUCAAGCAUCCUCUUAUACCUAUCUCUAUAGAUCUGAAUCCCCAAUAUGUAGAUGCUUCCCCUAAGUUCUUCAUGAAGAAGUGUCUAGAUAGUCAAAUCUUUACUAUGGAGAGUAUCCUUGUAUCAUUCCCAAUUAUUAGGAUAUCAUCCAUAUAUAACAUCAGAACAGUGAUAGCACUCUCACUCACAUUCCUAUACACACAAGACUCAUCUUCGUUUUUAAUGAAGUUAUAAGAUCUGAUCAUCUCAUCAAAUCUUAUGUUCUAACUUUGGGAAGCUUGCUUUAGUCCAUAGAUAGACCUAAGCAACCUACACACUUUAUUUGGACUAUCCUUAGAUACGAAUCUCUCACGCUGUAUUAUAUACACCUCUUCCUCGAGGUUGCCAUUGAUGAAUACAGGUUUCACAUCCAUCUAUCAGAUCUCAUAAUCAUAGUAUGCGAUAAUAUCAAAUAUAAUUCAGAUGGAUUUCAACAUAGCUACAUGUGAGAAGGUUUCGUCAUAGUCAAUACCUUGCCUUUGACAAUACUCUUUAGCCAUUAGCCUUGCUUUAUAAGUCUCACCUUUCCAUCUAUUUUGAUCUUCUUCUUGAAGAUCCACUAGCAACCAAUGGGUACAAUACCCUCGGGUGCAUCAACAAGGUUCCAAACAUACAUAAAAUCCAUCUCAGAAUUCAUGGCCUCUUAACACUUCCCGAAGUCUAUACUCAUAAUAGCCUCCUUACAUGUCUAAGGAUCAAUAUCCUCAACAUCCUCUCAUUUGAUAUGUCCUAUAUAUCUCUUAGGAGAAUGAGGUACUCUAUUGGACCUAUGUAAAAUUAAAACUUAUGUGCUAGAUAAUUAAACAAACUCUGACUGUGGAAUGAUGCUUAAGCUAGGUUCUCUAACCUUACUCAACUCUAUCACGCUCCCACUAUCUCCACCAAGAAUGUGUUCCUUCUCAAAGAACACUAAUCUCUUGGCGAUAAAGACCUUUUGGUCAUUGGGUGAUAAAAAUAAUAUCUGUUAGUUUCCUUAGGGUAUCCCAUGAAUAUGUAUCAUUUCGUCUUGGAUUCCAAUUUAUCGGAGUUGUGUCUUUUGACCUGGGCAAGACAACCCCAAAUCUUAACAACCUUAAGAUCAAACUUCUUUCCUUUUCAUAUGUCAUAUGAAGUAGACACUGUCAAUUUAGUUGGAAUUCUAUUCAGAAGGUAAGUUGUAGUCUCUAGGUCGUAUCCCCAAAAUGAGACGGGUAGGUCGACGAAACUCAUCAUAGACUGCACCAUAUCUAACAAUGUGCUAUUCCUCUUUUUGAAUACACCAUUGAGCUAGGGUGUAUAAAGAGGUGUCCACUAGGACAUAAUCCCAUAGUCCUUGAGGAAUUGGGUGAACUUUGUACGAUGAAAGAGUUUUGAUACUCUUUCUAAUCUGAUUCUCAACUUUAUUUUUAUACUUUCUGAAUUUAUCAAAAACCUCAUACUUGUAUUUCAUCAAGUACAUAUGUCCAAACCUUGAGAAAUCGUCAAUAAAAAUAACGAAGGAGUAAUCACCUAUGACAUAAGUUGACAUAUGACCACACACAUCACUAUGUAUGAGUUCCAACAACUCAGUGGCUCUCUUUCUAAUUCCACUAAAUGGAGAGUUGGUCAUUUUUCUACGAAGGCAAGGCUCACAAGUUGUAUAUGACUCAUAGUCGAAUAGAUCUAGGUAUCCAUCAUUUAGUAACUUUGAAUCAUUCUCUCAUGGAUAUGACCUAUCUUACAAUGCCACAGAUAUGCAUCGUUCACCUCAUCUUAUUUCCUCUUAGACUCACUUACAUUCAUAAUAUGUGAAGUAGUGUCUAGCAUAAACAAAACAUUACGCAAUGUUCCUUUCAUGAUGAUCGUAUCAUCUAAUAAUAUUGAACAACCAUUGUUCUCAAAAACUAAUUUAUAUCCACUAACUAUCAAACAUGAAAUGAAAAUAAUGUUUUUGAUAAUAGAAAGAACAAAAUAACAUGCAUUCAAUGCAAUAAUAGCUCCACCAGGCAGAUGUAAGGUAACCCUAUCGAUAACAACAACAGCAACUCUUACUCUAUUGCCCAUCUUGAGGUUCAUCUUACCUCUUGUCAAUAUCCUAGGUCUUGUUAGAACUUGCAAUGAAUUACAAUGUGAUAAACACUUUUGGUAUCUAAUACCUAUGUGUUAUCAUAAGAAUAUAACAAAUAGAGACCGAUCAUGAAUAUACUUGAAGCUUCUCCAAACUUCUAUUUCACCCUCUCUGCAAGGUACUAUUUGCAGUUCCUCUUAUAGUGCAUAUCUUUGCCUAGUAGAAGUACUGGCCUUUGUUUUUUGUCGGGUCUUUCUUAGCAACCUUUGCUUUACCCGAUCUGCCCUUGACCUUGCCUUUCUUAAGAGACUUAUCUGCCUUCAUUUUCUUUUUGGUUUUACUAGCAUAAAGAACUAGCUUCUCUACUCUCAGCCUCUCUCAACAUAUUGAAGAAUUCAGGGAGAGUCACCUCAAGUUGAGAAACAGAAUAUUAUAGGGAUUAAAGUAUAAUGUUUAUACAUAGGUCAUCUUCUAGGACCAUUCAUAGACAUGUGAGUUUCUCUAUCAACUCAAUCAUCUUUAGGACAUGGUUCUGAACCGGUGUCCUCUUAGUCAUCCUGACACGGAAGAGACUCUUGGAUAUCUCAUAUCGUUGAGUCCUUCCCUGUUCCUCAAAUAAGUUACAGAGAUAUAGGAGAAUAGAUCUAGCAUCCAUCUUUUAUGUUGUCUUUGUAACUCAAAAGUCAUGGGGCCCAACAUAUAACACUGAGCAAGAGUGGAGUCAUCUAUGUACUUCAUAUAGCAAACAAUCUCAUCAUCGCUUGCCUCUUCCUCGGGCAUAGACAUCACUAUAUCAAGGACGUACGUGAUUUUCUUCAUCGUGAGAAUGAUUCUCAAAUUGCGAAGCCAAUCGGUAUAAUUUAGACCAUUGAGGCAGUUGACAUCAAGUAUGCCAUGUAAGAGAUUCGAAAGCGACAUAAAUAUGAAAAUAAAGAUGUAGUAGAAAUAAAUAACAAGUAAAUUUUAUAAAAAUAAAUAAUUAAGAUUAGGAUUUCUAUCUUAAUUUACUCAUAUUUUCUCGCUAAUCACACAACUCCCUCCGGUAUGUGAAUCAGAGGCUCCCGGUAGAUCUCUAGUGGGGAUCAGAAUUCAAUCGACGUCUUAACGUAACAUCGAGUGACUCGACCAAUUAUGCUAAGCCCGUAAAGGUAAGCAACUCUUUCUAAUCACAACUCCUUGUUAUCUCAUCUUGUUCGGCCUUCGAACCACCAUGGCCUCGAGUGACUCGACCAACCAUGGUGUUCCGUUAAGUCAUCACCAUCGUUACAAGAUGAGUCUGAUUCUAUAAUAUGCCAUCGAAUGACUCGACCAAGCAUACCAUAUCCUCAAGUCACCGGUGACAACAACUCUAUGUCGUAGGCAAAAUAGCGAAUCAUGAUAUAGAUGAGCCUCGAGUGACUCAACCAACUCAACCUACGUCUUGAAUUGGUCCCUACCUAUAAUGAUGGAAGGCCAUGUGGGUUAAUCUAAUUGCCUCACGUUCAUCGACUUAAUAUUAUUGAGAAAGAAGAUUUUUUAUUUGGUCUCCUAAUAUAUAUAUAUAUAUAAUAUUUACAUCGCAUGUAAAUAUAUAUACAUAUAUCUAGUAGGAUGAAGUAAACUGUGAUGUGAAGAUGAAAGAAAAGCGUCCAGGGGACGGAUCAUGUUGGAUUUUUAUAGAUACAACAUGUCGUCCACAUAAACCAAACAAUGUCAUUUCUACCUCUGUUUCCUCUGUCAUCGAAUGAACGCCUUUUCCUGUUAAUUGGGUGAACGUGCAGUGAUGUGUGUCAAGAUUUAAAUUAUUAUUUAAAUAAAUUGAUUAGAUAAAAUUUUAAUUUUUUUAUUUUUAAAUAAAUUUAUUAGACAAAAUUUUAGAGAUAAAAUUAUUUUAAUUUAAUUUAUUAUUUUAUACUUAUAAAUAUAUGAUAUCUAUAUGUAUAGAUUCAUCAAAGUCUUAAGUGCUUACAUUUGUAGAACUCUAGUCAAAGAUUACCAAGUCAAAUAGUAGUAAUUUGUUACUACUAUUUGAGAAAGGAUUAUACUUGCAUGUAAUUUUUGUAUUUUAAGACUUUUGUGUGAAGUAGAUAACUUUCUUUUUUACUAUGGAUUGAUCGGUAGAUUUGAUAUUAAACUUAUUAAUUAGUCUAACUAGAAGAUUUGUUUGGAACUAAUAUGUUAUGUAUACCAUCGAUUGGUGAGUCGGCUCGAUUGGUUCACUAUUGAAGGUGUAGAUGCAUCUUGAUGUCUUCUUACUGAUGUGGGGUAUUGACGUGGCGAGCCAAGUAGAGGAAUGAGGGUCUUCCUUGCUACGGGAUCAUCUCUUGACUAUCAGUUAUCUCUUGCCCACUAAUGGUCCUGCACCACAGGUAUGUGCUAGGGGCUUCUCGACUCGAUCAUUCUGAUGCUUAAGUUAACACAAGAUAGAGCGGGAGGGGGGGGGGGGGGGGGGGGUGACGAGAGAGAGAGAGAGAGAGAUUGGUAUAAGCUAUAUAAUGAAAUGAGUGUAGAGCCCCCCUUCUUCAGCGUAAGCUAUAAGUGGCUUUUAUACCUAGGCACUUGGUUAGGCCGACUGACCUUCGUAUUGGUUGAUCGAAGAUAAGAUCAAGUUAAUUGACAGAUCAUGACAACAAAAAUCUUUCUAUAUCCUCUUGUCCUCUAAUCCUAGUGAGGCGAGGGAGUUAAGGCGGGCGACUUGCCGAUGUGAUGUGCUCGAGGAACUAUCGCGACUAUUGCCCUAUGGUCAGACACCAUUCUUUUUGUAUAACCAGGGAAUGGUCUUCUCGUCCUUCAUCUGACAGGAAGGAUUAUUAAGACCGUGUCAUGCUGCUAGCCAUUAAUGUGGUGUUUGCUUCUAUGGCGGAUGAACUAGAAUGAGAUAGGAUUAUCCAUAUCAGAAAUCCUAUCUCAUAGUAGAAGAUCCAUCUAUUGUGGUUGGUAGUAAUACAACAAUAAUACCAUAUGCUGCAUAUGAAGACGCCAUAAAGAGAUAGAGGGCAUAAAAUACAAAAGCUGAACUUGCAUUAAAGAGAUCUAUCUCUCAUGAUCUCUUAGAACAUAUUAUUGGUUGCAAAUCAACUUCAGAGUUUUGGAUCAUUCUUGUUGCAUUGCUCAACAAUAAGAAUAUGACUCAGUUUUAAUAUUUGAAAAAUGAUUUUACAAAUACUAUCUAAAGUGAUCUUUUAAUUUCUUAAGUUUUUUAAAAAUUAAAAAUUCAUAUUCAAAGAUAUCAUUUUUAGAUCCAGUCUAUUUCUUAUGCAUGAUUAAAAUGUUAUAUUUUCAUAGUCUUUGAAAAAAAUAUAUUUCUUAUAUUAUAUCUAUUCAAUGAUGGAUUCAAUAACCAUCCUUACUAGAGUUGAAAAAUCUUUUUGCUUCUUAGGAAUUCUUAACUCGUAAAAUAAUUAGUCUUUAUUUUAAGAGUAGAUGAAAAUGCUCUUUUUAUAAAUAAAAAAAAGAGAGUACUGAUAAAGAUAAAAAAAAAUAAUGCUAACAACAAGCCAAAGUCUUCAUUGAACAAUGGUAUAAAUCAAAAGAAGAUUAAAUGUGAUAGGUGUCACAAGUUAAGCCAUAUCAAAAAAAAUAUAUUAUGUUAAUAUUAAAAGAGAAAAUAUUUUAAAUAAAGAAGAUUGUUUCAAUGUUACUGAUGAAAAUUGAGACAAAUGCUUUAUGACUAAAACUACUAUAGUGGAGAUUAUGACAUUCAUCAAUUUCUAAUAUGAUUAAAUAGUUGAUUCAAGAUAUGGUUAUCAUCUCACUGAUGAUGAUAUAAAAUUCAUAAAUCUUUGUCAAUAUACAUGUAAUAAUNNNNNNNNNNNNNNNNNNNNUCAACAUCUAACUCUUAAGUUGAUAGGAUGAGUACAAAUAAUGAUAUAUCAAUCUCGCAUGCUAGACUUGAUCAUAUAAAUAUUUUUAAAUUAAGAAUUAUGAUGUAGAAAAGUUUAGUUAAUGGUCUUUCUAAUCUUACUACUUUUAGUAAUAAUAAAGUUUAUGAAGGUUGUUAAUACGAUAAAGCACAAAAAUAACUUUUUGAUAUAUCACUCAACAAAUUUUUAUUAGAGCUUAUUCAUUAGUGAUGUAAUAGGUCUUACUCAAACUCCAUCUUAUCUAAUUUUUCUCAUUAUAUGCUUUUUUUUAUUAUUGAUUUUAUAAGGUUUACUUGCGUCUACUCUGUGAAUAAGAAAUCAAUUUUUUUUUUUAAUUUUAAAAGUUUAAAUUAAUAAUUAAAGAUAUUCUUAAAAUAAAAAUUAAAAGAUAACACAGAUAAUAGUAAGGAGUUCACUUCUAAUAGAUUUUUCUCUUUUUGCAAAGAACAUGACUCACUUGUUCAAACACACCACAAUAAAAUAACAUAAUAGAAUGAAAGAUUCAGACAUCUCAUGGAGACGUGUAAGUGUUAGCUUCAUGCAAAGAAUAUCACAUAUUCAUACAACAUGCCGAAAGCUUUAUAAAUGUAUUAGAUAUUUAAUUGAUUUGUCAAGGUCUUAAUUGAAGCCAUUCUAGGUUAAUUUAAGCUAGUAUUGGGUUGAAACAAAGCCCACUUAUCAAAGGGUUUGAAGUCGAGCCAAAUUGAACUUGUUAGAAGACCUGGGUAGUGGUACCAUCAAGCCCAAGUGGUAGUACCGUCUGAGUUAACCAAUAAGCAUUAUUUAUGUUUUGUUAGCCUUUUCAAUGAUGGUAUCAUCUAUAGUGAUGGUAGUCCUAUCCAGAAUUUAAAUUUUACGAUGGUAGUACCACUAAAGUUUAGAUUUACAAUGUCAAAAGUUAUGAUAAUAGUAAUGCUUAAUAGGUGGUAUCACUCGUAUCCUAAAAUUUUGAGAUUUAAAUUUUUAGCUCUAUUUUUGAAGCUUUUUGAGGUCUAUAAAUACCUCAAUCAGGCUUGGUUGAUGGAAUAUCCAUUUUUGAGCUAGUAAACUAUUAUAAGCUUAAUUUGGAGCAUAAUUUAAGUUUUCUCCUUUUGAUUUUAGUUGAAAUUCUAAGUUGUAAGAUGUGAGAAAUCUCUUGUAAAAAGAGAGUGUGAAUGUGAAUGUUAUCUUUUAAGUUUGAAAAAAGAAAGAGUUGUAACAAGGAUGAUUGAUCUUUGUUUACUGGAAAGAGGAAUAAAAAAUAAAGGUAAAUUGAGAAGACUGAACUACUAUAAAUUAGUUUGCCCCUCUUUACUUGUAAUUUUAACUUGAACUAUCGAGUUUCCAAAACGUAUUGAUUUAUCAAUUGAGUAUUAAAAUUGAUUAAAAAUACUAUUAUACUAAGAGAUAUAUUUUUAUUUUUAAACCAAAUUAUGUUUGCAUAGUCAAGAAGACCCUCUACAAGGUAAAGCAAGUUUUUCUCAAUAUUUAUAUUUUAAUGAUUUUUUUAUUCAGAUUCUAGUUUAUUUAUUAAAAAGUAAGGAAGCUUAUACAUUAUUGGUCUUUGUACGUGGAUGAUAUAAUCAUCAUCGAUAAUGAUAAAAUAAAUAUUCUUCUCUCUAAUUUGAAAUAAAAAUAUUGAGAGAGCUUAAUAUAUUUUUCUUGGUCUAGAGGUGAUGAAUAUAAAAGAAGGUAUAUUUAUCUCUCAGAUAAGCUAUGAUUAUGCAGAUAUUUGAUCUGAGAUGAUUUGGAUAAUUAUAGGUAUAAUAAGAAAUAACAAUUGAUCUCUCUUUUUAUAAUCGAAACAAAAUACAAGACUUUCUCACUUAUUGCUUAAGAAUGUAAAUGGUUAAAAUAUUUGAUUAAGAAUGCUUACUAUUAAAUUAAUAAACUAACUAUUUUACAGUAUAAUAACCAAAGUACCUUAAAAUUAAUUAUAAAUUUAAUUUAUUAUACAAGAAUCAAGCAUUUUAGAAUUGAACAUCAUUUCAUUCGAGAAAAUAUACUUCAAGGAGUCAUUAAAGCUAAUAUCACAAAUAUCUUUACAAAAUCUCUUUCCAAAAAAUCAUUCGAAGAUUUUCAAAGUAAAUUGAGACUUAUCUCAAAAGAAUACUUUAAAGGAGAGUGAUAAGAUUUAAAAUAUUAUUUUUGAAGGAUUUUAAAGUUCUUAUCUUUUAUCUUUUAAAUAAGCUGAUUAAAUAAAGUUUUAGAGAUAAAGAUCUCUUAAUUUAAAUUGUUAUUCUAUACCUAUAAAUAAAUGACAAAUACAUGUAGAUUCAUCCAAAUUUUAAGUGGCCAGAUCUACAGAGCUCUAAGUUAAAGAAUAGUUCAAGAUUGUAUAAGUAUUUUUUAAUUUAAUAUAAUAUUUUUUUACUUCUGUCUUGAUUUUUUUCUAUUUAGUUUGAUCUUAGGUUACUACUACCUUAUUACUAUUAUUUGAAAAAAAGAUUACACUUAUAUGUGAUUUCUUUCUUUUUUUUUUCACAAUAUGAUACCCAAGAUAUUUAUCUAUUAUAUAUAUAUAUCAGAUUAAGCUACCAGAAGCUGGAAUAUUGCUUUAAGUGCAGCUGAAAACAUGCAACAAAGGUUCAUUGCAUGACAGCUAAAACAUCAUUCCCUCUGCUUUAGGAUCAGAAUGCAUGAAGAUGUUGAGUUGGAGCACUGGCAGGGAGGAGUUGGUACCCAUGAGUAGUGCAAUGCACUCUUGCAGUGCACAUGGAUCGCAUGUUGGCGAGCUAUCUGACGACAGCGAUCAAGCUCGUAAGCUGUUGCUGACUGUGACACUCGCUAUCUUUCUCUAGACCAUUAAAGAUCACAGUCAAUUUUCGAAUCCAUCAUAGAUUCUCGACCGAAAAUUAAAGAUAUAUACAUACUAAACUCUUAUAAAUCCAUUCAAAUCUUCUUUUGAUUGCAUGGACAUGGAAUUAAACUUGAGGUAUUAUAUUAAAUUAUUAUUUUUAUUAAUAAUAAGAGGUCUAAGUUGGUUCAAUACAUACAAGUCGAGGCUGAUCUAUGUGCAUACCCGAGUACACAUAUUUCUAUCAUAAUUAUUCUAUUUUUCUUUUGGAUAAUUUUAUAAUUCAACGAAUUGUUAUAAAAAAUUAACCCAAUAAUUUUAGUAAAACUUUGGAUUAGAUAGCUUUUUUAUAACACUUAUUAACUAUAAAAAAAAAAAUUAUGUCUUCGAGAGAUCCCAAUUAAUCUCACAUCGAAAGGUAAGAGUACUCACAUGCACCAUUUCCGAUGUGAGGUUUGUGGAUCACGAUCAGCCCUUUCGGUAGUGCUUUCGGGUUUGGUUGCAUGGCUGCCAAACACCUCCCAUGGCCACAAACCUUUGCUUUCGAUGUCCCUUCCUCAGGGAACACGCCGGUGCAAGGAUCUAAUACCUAAUGCUACUUCCACCACCCAUGAUCUCCACAUGUCAACAUCGUUAAUUUGCCGCGCCAUGGCCGGUCUUCCCAUCCACCUUCAUCUCCUUCUCCCUCCCUCCGUUGCUUCUUCCAUGAUCCUCUUGUAGAACUCACGGUCGAGGUUUUACCGAUCAUCGGGGACUAAAACCCACAUCAGCUCAUCUUGCACGGAUCGAUCCCAGCCAUGCCGAUGUCUCCAUCUCUUGUUUCGGUGUCGGUAUCAGCUCAGAUGACGGUGCGAAGCUUGUCGCUGCUCCCACGUUCCCAUGCACAUGCAAAGCCUGAUCACGAGCAGGGGGACAUCUGAGAAUCUGAUCACUGCGUUGAGAUAAUUGUGCCGUAGCGUUCGUGGUUGUACUCGGGGCCUAACUCUGCUCUCCGUUUUAUUUCCUUUCAUGAAUCGACAGGAGAGGAAACAGUAACCGGUGCAGAGAGAACCCGUCGGUUGAUCAGUUCAUCUGAUCUGAGGAAGUCAUCACUGGCGCAUGACCCAUCCAAGCUUCACUGUCAUUGGUUGGUCAACCUCGAUGAACAUGAGAUGGGGCCGAGAUCAAGGGAGGUUUCAUGGGAUUUUUUGUGGUGUGAUUGUCGACACACCUACUGCUUUUACUCUCUUCCUCUUUAUUAUCUCCUCUUCUGCAUAGUAGAGAAGUCACGGACAGCAGAUUAACGUACGUACUGCUGGUUUCAUUUGUUGGUCAGUCACCUGCAGCCAAUGUUAAAGGCCUUAAUCUGUUUAAGAUGACCCAUUGGGUUCAGUGCAGGUUGAGCCUAUCCACUCCUCCUUGCUUGCUCUCAAAAACUCUCAGUGAUUGCAAGGCCCACAGCUGAGAUAAAAGACUGACCUCUCUUUCAAGGAUUAUGUACGCUCUCAUCUCAUCUACCAAUACUUCUUCCUUAUUUGAGGAACUCAUCUUAGUUUUAAAGUUCGUGUAACUAAAUCAUCAUUCUCUCAGUUUCUCAUAAUCUUUUGUGGAUUUCUUAGGUUCUCUCUUGGGUAUUUUUUUUGCUGAUCUUGUUUUUUGGAGACUCUCAAAGGAGCUUUUGGAGAAAAGAUUAAUGGAGUAGUGCUUCGAUUUCACUUGCGAGAGGUCUGAAAUGGUUUGCAGGAGUCACAAAGAGAACUAUAAUCACAAUAUACAAAGGGUGCCGUAGAGAUGUUCUCAUGCAUAUGCUUAUGUUCAGGAGCUGAGUCGCUUCGAUGAAGCAUGCAUGUAUGAAUUCAUAGACAUAAGUACCAAUUUUUGACAGGCAUAAAUGUUGGAUUUGAAGCUUGAAAUUUAGGAUUAUAGAUACUAUUUCACCCAGUUUCUUCUAGGUUAGUCCAUUUCAGAUUUGCCUCAUUCCUUAGGCCAUAAAAUGUGCAUAAACACAUGGUAAUUUGUCCAUGAAAGCAUUCAUAUCUUUGCUACGAUCACACCAAAUGCACGAGUAAAGCAUCUCCUCUAUGCUGACCAACUACGAGCCUUUAAUGCAUAAUAGUUUUGAUCGAGCAUCAUAGUACAACAUUAACAUCAGCAGCAAUAACAACAAAUCAUCAACCCCAAUAGUUUGAUAUUUCACUGAGAUUGGUUGUGAGCUAUAUCAACUAUUACAAAUACGGAGGUAUACUGUUCGAUCGUGGAAAGAGGGAGGUAUACAUGUGUUCGGCCUUUAAUACACUACAUGAUUGUUUUGUCUGCUAAAAUGGAGGAGGAGAUCAAAUAAAAUUACCAGACAAAUCUCUGCAUCAUCAUCAUGUAUAGGUCCACUUCAGAAACAACUAGCAAUAUGUACCUUCUGCGAGGACCACCUGCAUGAGUGAUUGAUGAUGGAAUUGUGCCCUCUUUUUUCUCUUUCUUGAGAUGAAAAGCAGCUCUUUGAGUACAUUCGUCAAAGCUGAAGAGGAAGUCACUGGAACUGUCAUGGAGUUGGAGCUUUCGAGGUGUUUGCCUCUUCAGAUGAUUCCUGUACAUGUGUGCUUCGAAUGAUGCUUCAUCUUUCUAUCUAAAUGGGGGAUUCUCCAUUUGCUUUCUUCCGUGUCACAUAACAUCGCCCAUCUCAACCAGAAUGUGACGUUGAGAAGAUAUUUGCUGGUAGUCUAAGAAGAACACUAUAGAAGAAAGUAUUACUGAAAGGAAAUUGCAACACAAAAGUACAAAAGAGACUGAAACCAUCUAAGACAGCUUUUGUAAUAAUCAUUUUGCUAUGUAAUAUUGGAUAGCUUACCAUUCUUCAUCUCAAAACACAGAUGUUUAACACCUAACCGUAGAGAAGAAAGAGGAAGAUACGGAUAUCGCAGUUCUUCGCUUUCUCCAUGCUUCGAAUAAUCGUCAAGCUCGGCUCUUUGGCUGGUUUUUCGAAGAAGGAAUAUUGGCACAUAGGAAGAUGAUCGUAUGUCCAUACUCACAACCAUCUGUUGGUGUAUUCUGAGAAGAAGAAAUAACAUCAACCUCUUUGAGAAGGCUCACAAAUGAGCUAAGUAUAGUGGUGCAUGAUGUUCUUCUCCAUUUUGAUUCCUUAAUUUGGUCAGGAGCAAUUGUUUGUACACACAAUCCUUGUCAUGAUUCUGGUCGCUUAGCUUUAACUAAUGACACGUUCUUCGUCCAUCAUCAACAUAAACUAAUAGGGUUUCUUCCAUUUUAGGAGAAGAAAAAGGAAAGGAAAAAUACUCCUUAUCAAGAAAACCAAACAUCAUUCUUCCUUAAUGAACACCAUAUUAUCUGACAUGGUAAUCACAGUCCUCAAGAGUAUAAAAGCUUAAUUAGCUAUGGACAAACAAAAGGUAAAGAUAAAGCGAACAUGAGAUUACAAGCAAGGGCAGGAGAAUUGUGUAUCGAGUGGCCACCUUCAAAGGAAAAGGAAUCCAUACCUUGUGAAAGCAUAAUUGAUUGGUAUCACUUCUUGGAAUCUGAAAGCUGAUAAAGAUCUAUCUACUUGAGUGACAAUAACUUAGACUUAAAGGCUUGCUUACUACCCUGCAAACAAUCAACUAAAGGUAUGGAAGGUAAAAGAAGUCGGGAAAUCCAUCUAUAAGAACAAAAGCGGCAGCAAGAAACUUGACCUCUGAGGAGAUGAUGACUUGAUGGUGGUGGCAUGUGUUGUUUAGCCGCUUAUUUGCCGAUGCAGCAUCAUCAAGAUUCUCAUCGACGACGAGGACGGCGGGGCAUCCGGUCGGUGUGAAUCUUGAUGAUGCCACAGCUGCAAACACCGACUUCUGUUCCCACGGAGACGGAGUGUAACGGGAGAAGAGAGCUUGAGGCGAGUGAGUCGGAGGAGAGGAGAUGGCAAGCAACAGGAAUAAGAAGAUAGGAGCACUGCAAGGGGGGAGGUACUGUUGGAACGAACCCACAGGCCGAGCGACACCGGUGGCUGGAUCGAGCCUGGAAAGACGGUGGAUUUAUGGACCCACGAGAGGAAUCUCGCAGUCUCCUGCAGUAGUACUCUUUUUAGUUGUAUCGAGGCAAUACCAACAGCAAAUCCUUUCCCAGCACCCAACGGAAUCAAAGGGCAGGCGAAACGAAGCAAGUCCCCGAUCGAUCCUCAUGCACCUCAUCCCUUUCCCCACCAUGAGAGAGAGAGAGAGAGAGAGAGAGAGAGAGAGAGAGAGAAGAAGAAGAAGAAGAGUGAGGUGUUACGGUGAUUGCUGCCGCUACUGAGACCUAAUAAAGCUCCCACGCAAGAUCUGACACGUUUCGACCUUACGAACCAUGGCUUGGGAUCUCAAAGGAAAGAAAGAGACGGGCGAAGGGUAGAGAGAGGGAAGGAGAAGGACGCUGUGGAUCACUGUUAUUCUACUUGUCAAGACAUGCAUCUUCUCUGCUCAUCUGCGGUGCCUUCUUCGAGCAAUAUGAUCCACGUAUUUAGAGCUUUGGUGUGUCAUAUCAUGUCAUGAACACAGUCACAUACAGGUCAUACGACCAAUCCCCCUCUUCAUUAAUCUAGCAAAAAAUCGUUAGGACUUCUUUUGGUGGGCUUCGUCGUGAAAUGAACGUCUCAGCUCCUCCAGUUGUGGUGGCGGUGGUGCAUUAGCGGGUCACACACAUUGCUUUUAUUGUGGGCAACUACCUCGUACGAUAACAGGUUUGGUUUGGGGGACCAGCAUCCAUCGUUAUACCAUCAUCGUCUUCUUCUUCUUCUUCUUCUUCUUCCCUGGUUUAAUGUCCUGAUCGUAUAUAUAAAUGUUGAGGAAAUACGAUGACGGAUCUUGCGAAGUUUAUUGGAUCUAGGAAAUAUACGUAGCAGAUAGAUGUACACACCAUGUACGUACAGAAAAACUCGCCCCUGGUUUCACGAGAUUCCAUCCAGGAAGUGCUAAGAGGAACGUGACAUGAGGAAACAAACGCAAUAUUCCUUUGUUGUUUCCCAAAGUGUAAUUGACACACUGACCACAACAAUUGAUCCCAAAUAGGCACAUGGAGACAGCCCCAUAUGCUCGAUUAUAACUCAGAGAAAGUACAUGAUUAGCCAUUAUUUUUAGAGGCUAACCAUGUGAUUUGCCAUGCUUACAAGGCAAGGGGGGAAUUCGUGGUUUGGUUGGAGUUAUUUGUGGAGGAACCACGAGAAGGGAAUCGAGAUGCCCUUCUUCGAAAGCCACAAGCACUUGAAUGUGUAUGAGGGACAAUGCAUGGCCUCUAUCAAUGGUAUCGUUCAAAGGUUAGGUGUCAUGUGGCUUUCCCUUGAACGUGCACAUCACUUGGGAAUUUAAUUUGUACCUUCGAUUUAUGCAUGACUUGUCAAUAAAAAUUUUAACUCUGAUAAUGUAGCAAUGAUGGCAUGGUAUCAAGUUUGAGACUUCCUCUGCAAAAAGAAGUAGAAAAUCUUCUGCUCUGCAAAGAUAUUUCCAUCAUUAUCAUCAUCAUUAUUCAAUCCAUAUAUUAGGGUCUCCAUCAUCAUCAUCAUCAUUCAACCCACAACUGCCAAAGCAAAAGCAAAACACAAGAAAACCUAGAAAAACCGAAUAGAAGAUAUUACAGAUAUCAGUCUUCUAGGAGAGCCAUGGCAAUUACUACAAGGGGAAAAAAGUGACAGUACAAAUUCUUUAGCGGAGCCGAUGUCGCUGCUAAAAUUACUGAGCCAUUACAGUGCUCUCUGGUGUCCUACCGCAGGAAUGCUUUGCAUCGGGCUUUCAAAACACAUGGAGUCACUCAAGGAACGCCUCCUCACUCUUAUGUCACUAGUGCUCGAGUUCCUCUGGGGAAGCAGGGUAUCGGAGUAAGGAGGUCCGACAAACAGCUCACUCAUCUUGAAAAAGAGCUCAAGAUUGUGCUGGUAUUUGUUUGCCAUGACACCGUCUCCAUCAUCUGUUGCCAUCUUGCUGUCUGCUAUUUUCUUCAAGUUGGUUGACUCAUCAUCGUCGGACCAAUAAUAAUUAUCAAGGCCAUCUCGCAUGGCCAAGUCAUCAAACUCGUCAUCCGACUUGGUAGAGUCUUCCUCCACCGAGCCUUCAAUCUGAAAAUCAGUCAUAAAGCGGAGAUAGCUACUCACCAUCCUUCUUUAGCUUAGAAAAAUGAUUAACGCAAUGUUGUUUCAAUGGAGUAUCCAAAAUGCCCUGAUCAGUUCUUUAUAAAGACAGUCGAGUAUAGCUUUUUUUUUUUCUUUUGGCAUUUGGAAAGAAAAUCGUCAAAUUUGGUAGAGAUACUUAUAGUGCCUAAUGCACUUUACCUCGACCCGCUUGUUGACGCCAUCAAAAUAUCUAUGUCAUAAUUUUAAAAUAAUAAAAAGUUUUUAGGCUAAUAAGACCAGAAAAGGUCUAGUUUGUACCUCCUCAUGGAUCUCCUUGUGGUCUAUAUCACUAAAAUCCUCAUCACUAUCACCAUCAUGUGGAUCAUCAGCUUCUUCGUCACUACCCGCUACAAAAAAUUCCUCCUUAAGCUACAAAGAUUAGAGGAAAUUGGUCAGAAAUGCAAGAGGAUGAAGCAUGUAUUGAUCCCAUGGUAAAGGAAAAAAUAAUGCAACAUAUACAUCUAGUGGACUGCCUUUGUCAGUUGUGAACGAGUAAUAGGAAGUAAGCCAACAAUUAGACUUUUUUAGAGCAGAAAUCACGCAGGCCAACAAUUGCAGUUAUAAACGAGUACAUUACAUCUUGCAUACAUAUUUUGGUGAACCAGGUUCCUGCAUCCAUUGAGAGCAUUUCUUUCUCAAAUGUAACUGUAACGUUAAUGGCGAGCUUCAAACAAGGAUAGGCUUAUGAUGGAUAGCUAGGAAAUUUCAUUUGACCAGGAAUUUUAUCUAUCUAUUAGAAGCAUGUGGAUCCAUUGGUUUACUCAGAAAAGUGGUUCAGAGUCUUCAGACAACAACAAAACAAUGACCACCAUCUGCUGAAUUUCACCACUAAUUAACUCAAUAACUAAACAAAACAAAUGUAUUCUGGCAGUGACCUCAUCAGUCUCCCUCAUAAUGAUAACUACUGGAUGCGGGGCUCAUGUUUCUGUUAGACAUUUAGCCAUCAAGAUGUUGGAAUGCAAGUUGAAUUUCACUAACCUGAACAAAAAAACUUAUGCCAAUCAGUCAACAGUAUCAAGUGCUGCUGAACAAGCCUAGAAAGUAAAUUUCUUCCUCAUGGGGAUAAGAUUGUAGCAAGCAGAAAAGUCAAAUUGAAAUUCAGGGAGGACCAACCCUCUGAAGUCCUAGAUUUGAUGAUGAACAAACGUACAAAGAAGUUGAACAUUAUGUACAAACCAAAGCAUAAUGCUGAUAGCAUAAUCCAAAACCAGAAAAAAUUCCCGUGAACAGACUUAUAUAGUAAGCAAAUCUGUGAGGAAUUCAUAAGGUAAACUGCACCUAAUAAUUUUCAAUUUAGGCUUCAAAGUUCAUCAUCAUCAGUAAAUUUAGCUGAACUAGAAAUCUAGAAUAGAAAUUAAAGAAAAAAGAAUAACAUCAUGAUGCAAAGGGGAUUGAAUGGAAGUUGCAGUUAUGGAAAAUAGCAUGCCACUUGAAUAAUCAAAAUAGUACAUAAAUAUUAGCAACAUCACACGCAUGAUCAACUGCUAGAUACAGCUCAUUUCAAGCAAUGCACUAAGAUGUCAGCUGAAGUCAUUUACCUCUUUGGCAGGUCCAUCUGAUGCUUUUGGAGAGCUACAACAUGAAGAAACGUAUCUACUACCAGUGUCAGUGCCAUCAGCUCUUGAGCCAUCGAUGCUCCCUGUUUGACUUGUACCACAUGUCUCACGUGGCCAUGCACUGAUUCCAAAAUUUCCAAACUGAAGGUUAACUGGCUCAGCCUUCCCAAUUUGUAAGGGGCCAUACAUGGGGCUUCCCACACACUUUUCGUUCCAAUUUUCAGACGAUGGCUUCCCAGUAUAAUCAACAAACGGAACAGGCCAAGCCUUGGCAACAGAUCCAUCUAUGUUCAGAAGUGCCAUAAGAUGCCUUGAGGAACCCUUCCUCUGGAUCAACUGAAGCAUUCCCUUGGAGCUAAGAGAAUUUGCAGCACGCUGGUUUCUGUACUCUUCAAGUAUCACGGCAACUGUAUUUGUAGCUGGGUCAUAGAACUGCUCUCCUGCCUCUCGCCUACGUAGACAACCAAAAACUGUGGCAUGGAUAGAUGCCACACUUCGGUCAACAUUUGUAUUGUUUAUUUUUGGAACCAGAUGCUUAUCAGCCCUGUUACAGAGAUACUCCUGGAUUUUUCUGAUAUUUCGUAUGUAUUUUACAUACUUAUUUUUUGCUGGGUCCAAUGUCAUGUAUUUGGCACGCACAGAAAAUCUUUCCAUGUGUUUGUCUUCAUUUGUUAUGUAAAUCAUGAAGGGUAUUAUUGAAGGAUGCUUCUUCAUGAGCCCCAUCUAACAAAUGAAAACAGCAUAAGAUAUCAGUUAGAAAUCAACUUUACAGAAAACUUGUAGUCUGUGACAGAGUGAAAACAUCUAUGGCCAUUGAAAAUUGUCUGACAAACCUUUAGAGAAAUCCAAAUGCAGAUGCAACUAAGAUUGAACUGGAAAAUUGCAUUUUAAGAAAGAAAAAGAAGGGAAAUCUAAUAUCGCGAUUCCUGAGUACCCACCACAAAAUUGAGGCUCAAGUGGACGCCCUCGACAACCACAGAUUCUUUUCGAUCUUCCCAUGCAGUGAUCAAACGAUCAAGACUGUCUAUGACCAUCUCACUUUGUGCUUUAAAGCCCUCGAUAGCCAUUUGUCUUUUACCGAUUAACUCAGUUCCAAGGAUGGGUUCAUGAGAUCGGCCACCAGUUUUUUCAUUUAAAGCUCCAUCAGAUGCUUCUUCCUUGACUUUUGUGUGCGAAAUAACAGCAAGCUUCUUUUCUUUUCGUUUAGCCUUUGCUUUAGCAACUGCCACCGGAUCUAAGCAUUCCCCAGCAUGAUAAGUUGAAGCCCACAGGAGUGGGUUUUGUUUUUCAUCCAUGAAGCUCCUCAUCAUAUGGCGUAUUGAGUCAGUAGAAAUGACAGUUGUCACACCCAGUCUUCCCCCCUGCUUGCAAAUAUGCAAAGGGAAUAUCUUUAUCAAAUUGAAUUGAGUUUGCCCAGCAUUAUGUUGGUCAGAUAUUGAUAUAUAUUAAGAUAAGCACAUGGUGGACUAUUUGAAAAAGAUUCAAACAAAUAUUAGUAACUUUGGAGUUGAGGUUCAACAUGGACAACUUAGUUUUAUCUUUUUGGUAUGGCUUGAAGCAGGUUAAAAUCUUUCAUGCUAGAAAAGCAACAAAAAGAAAUGUUGAACUCAUUUAAAAUUUGACCAGUUUCCUUGUGUUGUUGGAGAACUGAACUAAACAGAUAUAUGUUAAUAAUAAAUGACAAGUCAACUUUCACAUGUCUCCAUGUAUAUUAUUAGCUUCUGUUCUCAAAGCCAGAUAAAAGAGGGUUGCAUUAAGACACUGAAGUCAGCAUAAAACCAGCUUGAAAAACUUUAUUGAGAACAAUGAAAACAAUAAGAUUUUUAGGUGCUCAUGAUUUAACUAGGGAUAUUAUCUAACACAGAAUGCAACUGUUGGAAAAGAUCCCUGUAGCCAACCCUAUAUCAUCGGAAGCUUCUUCUUGUUGUUAUUGUUGUAAGUUAGCUUUUACAUAAUCUGAUAGAAAAUCCAUCUAAACAAAUAGUAUAUAUAAAUUAUAAGCACCAAGACACUAUAUCAUAAACAGGUCCUGCUUGUAGAUUUGACACAAGAUUCUGAUAGAAAAUCCAUCUAACAAAACUAGCAAUAUAUAAAUAUAUAAUUUUUAAGAACUAAGGCACUAUAUCAUAAAGAGGUUCUGCUAUGUAGAUCGCAUUACAAAAGAUAAGCUCUACUUGAAUUUCAUAAGUUAGUACAGUUGCCCAGAAAGGAACUUGUGUCUGGAGACGAAGGAAGUUCAUUUGACAAUGCUUCCAAAACAAUUAUCUCCUUACAUCAUCUCGUUGAUUGUGAGAUGCUCUAUUUUCUCUCUUUUUCUUCUUCGUUUCAAUAUAAUACAUAUAUAUCAAACUCAAUGAGUAUAACUAAAAACAUCAGACAACCGAAUGUAUGUACCAGUUCAUCUUAAGGUAAAUCCAACAAUCAUGGAUCUCAAAAUGUAGAUAAAACAUGAAAAAUAAAGUGUAUGCUAGAGGAUUCUCUGGAAGUACCAGCAAGGAUGACAGAGUAGACUUGCCACAGCCACUAGUGCCACACAAGAGAACUGUCACAGAUUCCUUUCUUUCUCGAAUUCUAAAAGAUAUUUACAAUGCAGGAAAAGAGUUAGGAACCACAAACAAGAAGCUACAAAAGCAGAUAAGCAAAAAAGUUCUUCACAAGUAAAUCAAAUCAACAGACUUCAUUUAAGUUCUUCACAAGUAAAUCAAAUCAACAGACAUCAAUCAACUUACAGCCACUAGUUGUGUUCCAGAGGAUAGAUACUUAGAAAUCAUCCAACGUUAACUAGUUCUAUAUGUUCUCUCCCCAAAACUAAAAGCCAAAAUGAUUUACAUAAACUAAAUAUAAGCCUCAGAUAUCUUUGAAUUACUUAUAUAUGAACCUUACAGAUUAUGAAGAACCAGAUGGUUUUCUUGAGGUGUCAUUGUUCUAAACUGGGUGUAUAGAAUCUGAAGGAUCUACCAUGAUGGAAUUAAUUUAUGAAAUACGACAGAUAAAAGUAGGAGACUGAGAAACAAAACUUGUUGCAAUUUCGUUGCAACAACUAAAGAAACAAUGAAUCUUAGCGCUGCAAGGCCUGCUUAUAACAAUGUUAAUGGACCCUGUACUUGAUGAUGCCUAGAUGUGAUUUAACCACAAAGAGUAUACUUAUGGAACACAAAUUUUCAACUUGGGUUCCUCUUUUAAAUCAAUAAGGGUUUUAUUCAGACAAUUCUAGUUGGGCUUAUAAUUUUUUUUUACAAUGGCUUCACAUAGAUAGUAUGCAGGAGUUAAGCACAUCAAGAAAGUGUUCAGCAUUGAUUAGCUUUUUUCAAAAGCAAGCAACUUUAGAAUGAAAAAUAAGGCAUCAUCAUGAUGAUUUAUGACUACGACUCCUGAAGCAACUAGACAAGUUGCAUAAUAGACAUAGAGGAAUAUGGCAGGCUGCUCAUCAGGCUUAAACAUGUAGAUUCAACAAUUUCCUAAACGACAGGAAACUAAUGAUUGAGUGAAAUGUAUGAAACAUGGGAUCUUGGUAACAGUUAGGCAAAUUGAAAUUUUCCAACCAUAGUAACCUAUCUAAUAACCUGCUUAAUGUCAAGAUUAGGAGUACGCAUGUAGAAACUUAUUCGAUAAGAGAUGUGCAAAAAAAGGGGAUAUGAUGUCCUGUAUCCUCUCUAUUUCAAUAAUCAUGCACUAAACCUCAUCACCUAAUUUUGGUGUCAGUACAUGUUAUCCUUCCCCUCAAUCAACAAAUUUAAGAUGGAGCACUCUAAUAUGCUUUGUGAAACAACAAUAACCCACUCAAUUGGAGAAGGAUUAGAUGCAAAAAUUUACAUUCCAAUCUCUAAAUAUAUCUUGGGCUUCACACUGGCAGGGGUUUAUGCAUGACUAAAUGCAAAAGUUACAUGAAAAAGGAAGAUUUACUUCAUUCUGUCAAAAGACAAUAUGUCUGACAAGCAGGAUAGUAGAUUCAUACUAAGUCUUAACUAACAAAUUUAAGGUUCAUUGUAGAGAUGGAAAAAGGAAGAGGAAAGUAACAGAAUUAAUCCAUAAAGAUAUAAAAAGAGCAGAUAGGAUCACCAGACACACACAUACGGUUGUAUUUCUUUUAUCUGUAUAUAUGAUGAUUAGCAUAGCUACACUAGUUCUAUAAAAUAGAGUGCUUACAUGCAAGGACAACAAUGAUACUUUUUAUUCCAUUUGAGAAGUUUUCUUUCAUUAAUCCAUUACAACAAGAAAUUAGAAGGUGAAUACAAUCGACAGGCUUUGCAUGAAAAAAGCCUCUAAUCUCUGGCAAUACCACAUCUUGAUCAAACAAGACAUUUUGUAAAUAGCAUCACAUUGUGCAAAACCUAUGCAAAACUUUUAAGUUCAUUUUAAGUUCCUUUGCAUAUGUUCACAAGAACUCAGUCAGAGAAUUUUAGAAGGAAACAGAAGGUGCUGUACCUGCAAGCCAGAAGCAAGUCAGCUCUUUGAUUGCGACCUACAUAUUUGUACAGGGCAAGGGCAUCACAGACGAUGUCCAAGAAGCGCUCCCGUGAAACAACAACAGUUGUUAGCCUUUUGUACAAUUCGAAAGGAAUUCCACAAGUCGUAUCUACAUUCUCUUGAAUCAAGUCAUUAGUCAUGUUUGCCUGGUCUAAUCCACCAGUUUCAUUAGAUUCAUAUUCUGCAUUGGAUGGAAUCCGCCAGUCAUUUGAGCUUGUGGCAUCAGACGGCAAAUCAUCAACUGAGGACUCAUCCCUCAUCACUUCAAAUACCCUUCGGCUAAUCUACGAAAUAAGAACAUUAAAUAACAUGUUUCAUUCAGAUCUCAAGAUGUCAAUGAUAUACCAAAAGCAAGAAAGUUCUUCUGAAGAGACUAAUUACGGUCGGUUUUAGAGGACAAUAGGAGCAUGCGUGAGAUCAAAAUCUACCACCCGCUCCUCUACUACCAACCUUGAAGGCAUGACGUGCCUUGCAGCCCAUGAGCUGCAGCGUGCUCUGUAGCACCGACCGCGUAUACCGAAACGACAAGCUCCUGUUAUCCUCGCUCGCCAUCCCCUUCCCUCUCUCGCCACCGACUCCUCCCGUCUCGCCGUCGUCCACCACCACAAUGUACAGAAACUUCAGCCGCUCCGACAUCUCCAAGAACCUCCGAACAAGAAUCAAGAAACCCAAGAAUAACCGGAAACCGAGACCCAAGAUCCAAAGAGGAAGCAAACAGGCGGGCGGCGAGAUUCAACAACGAGGGCAAUGCAGGGGCCUCCGGGGCCUGAUCGACGAGAUUGGAGUCAGCGACGAGACCGCGACCACGCCGGGUGGAGAGCGCCCCUCGCGCGGGGGGAUCCGAGGCGGGUGAACGGAUGGGCGGGAGGCUAGGGUUUUCUGCAGGAGGGGCGGAAGGAAGGGGUGGGAGGAGGAUUGGGCUCGGGUAGUCCGCCAUGGCCAAAGCUCCGCGCCCGAGCUAUGCCCUCCUCCGCCUGUCACGACCUCCACGCAUCGCCCCGCUCGAGCCCACACAUGUCUCCCAUGCGACUCGUUCCUCUCCUCCUGCUGCUCCUCCGGAUCCGCUGCAAGAAACCCUGCGAAGGACGGCAGGGAGGAGUUUCAGGGUCGGUAAAACGGUGGGUGGGGGGAGAGGGGUAGCGUCGUUAUUUCGUCGAGUGUCAGGGUCGUACGGGGAGAUACGAUUCUCCCCGCGGCUUUCGUCCGGAUGUCCGCCACGAGGAGUGUUCGCGAGUGCGGUGGUGGACCUUGUCGUCCUUCCCUACGUGUGUUCGGCCGGCUUCACACAGAGUGGACCCCAGACGCAGGUUCAACCGCCAAGACAAAAUUAUUUUAUUUUAUUUUAUUUUUUUUAAUAUAUAGCGACAUAAUAUCGUUGAUCACUAUAUCGCAUCUUGAAAACUAAUCUUCAAGAAGGUUGAAUGCUUCACAAGGAUAAUUCUCAAGGUGAAUCAUUCUUGUCGCAAGCAUCACCUGCACGAUUAAUGUCAUAGUUUAACACGAGAGCUGAAAUUAAGAUUUCAUAUCCCAAAAUAUAUCUAGAAUGUUCAUAUUUCAUAGAGUGAUGAAGGAAAUAUUUAUGUAAUAAAUAAUAUUGUGAAGAACAUUUUCCUCUUGGAUUCAUUCUAUUGUCAUAGAUCAGCUGAAAAUGUCAUAUCUAUCAUGUCCCGAUUUAUCCAAUAUAUUAAUUAUUUCACUUUGAAAUAAAUAAUUAUUUCGAUAGAACUUUCUAGUUGACACACACAACAAAUAGUUUUAGCCAUUCUUUUUACCAAAUUCAUAUUUGGAACAGAUAAGUUAAAAUAAGUAUAUUACAAAAAAAAAAGUUAAAAGAAACAUAGAAACUUCUCUUGAUUUUGUAUUGUAGAUUUCUGUCUAAUCAUCAUUCAAACGAAAAAGAAGUGAAAGUGUGACCAUCCAAGUUUCAUUUACUAGAUAAUAUACACAAUAUUUGGAGAGGAAGUAAUGGAAUUCCAAAUCCUCGGAGACCAGCUAAUGAGCUAAUGCUCCAUCCAGUAUAUACCGCAUAGAGUGGGAUAUGAACAAAGGGGAUUUCAUCAUCAUGUCCAAAAUUUGUUGUACUGGUGCCCAUAGCUCGAUUAGAGAACCAUAGCCACAGCUCAUGUAAGCUAUAGAGGAAUUGAAUAGAUAACGAACGUAGCAUGUAAAAUCAGAAUAGACAUACAUCUACAAGCUAUUGCGAAGCUGAGAAUUAUAAUAUAACAUGAAAUCUGUGAUUUGUCUGACCCAAUAUUCAAAUCCAAGUCGGUAUCGUAUUAACGCUGUAAUCCAAAUGGCCUUAAUGCUUAUUUCCAAACUGCCACCAUUUUUUCUUCUUCUUUGUGUCUGCGGCAGGAAGAUCUGAACGAAGAAAAAGGAAAUAUUAACCAAAAAACAAGUGUUCCAAUAAUGUACCACAACAACAAAGUUUUUGCUGGAAGGAUUGGAAAGCGCAUUUGUUUUCUAUUUGUCCUGCAACCGAUGCAAAGUGGGGAUCUACCAGUGAGACUUGGAGAAUACAAUAAUGUACUUACCACCUUCAGGAUAAAUUGAGUUGUAGUGCACCUCAGCCCAAAAGCUCAAGAAAAUGACUGCAACAAAUUAUACGACUUUGAUUAUAGCUCCAAGCCCAGAAACAGAUGAAAAAGUUAUUAGUAUUUGAUGGAUAUCAAGAUAGAUGAAAUGUGUAGGGUCUAUGACAGUGCGCUUACGUUUGACCCCUCACAAGAGCAAGUAGCCUAAUUGGAACACUAGUUUUCAUGCUGAUUUUUUGUUCCAUUCUUAACUCCAGGUCUUAACUAUUCAAGGUGAGUAAAUUUAAUUAGACUAAAUUAUUCUUAACAGGAAAGUCUAAAUUUGAGAUGUACCUCGGUUAGAAUUCUGAACACUGGGCAGAAUCUCGAUAUAGCAAGUAUCCUUGAAUGAUGUUAUGACAAAAAUUUUAACUCCAUACUGCAGAACAGAAAAUUCACAACAACACAAAAAAAUCUGUUAAAAAUAAUGAAAAUAGAAGUGCUUAGCUCCACUAUAAGCUGAAGAAUCAACUUAGUAAACAAACUACAGCAUCAACAUUUAAGCAUAUGAUCUCAGCAUUUGUGCAAUUAAAAGGUUGCUCUAGUUAUUCCUCAAAACAUAACGUGCAUGGAAUAAAGAAUUAUUUGACAACAGAAGUAAUUGCCUGUAACUCAGGAGGGAGUGGCUAUUUUGAAGCACUAAUCCCCAGGCUGUCCGGGUUAACCUUUUCUAUUCGAACUUGCAAAAGAUAAUUAUGAGGAUCUUGUGGAGGAGAAAUAUUGAAAGAAAGUUCAAAAGUGUUAGGGAUGAGAGACACAACACUUGGCACUGAAAGAAAGUAUUGUUUCUUUAUUAAUAGUACAUGCUGAUCAGUGUGUAUCAGUAUAUAUCCAUCUAUUUGAAUGAAAAACUUUCUUUGCAAGCAUUUAUUAAAUAAGUAGAUAAAACAAUGAACAAACCAAAGGUCUUAUCUCCCUUGCCCUUCCUCUUUAUCAUUCCCAGGAAACUUUAUAAAAAGCAUGAGCAUCUAUUUUACUUCAUCCAUGACAAAAUUUGAAAUCAAUCUAUCCACUGACAAAAAAAAAAAAAAAAACACUACCCUUGCAAAAUUAUGAUCCUCCACAAGAUCCACAUAAGUUCAUAAAAAUAUUAAGCUAAAACAUGAGCUUCUUGCACUUUUGAAAACAUCAAUCUCGAGAUAGUGAUAUUGUUCCAAAAUCAUUUCCCACUGACACAUCCUAGCAAACUAAAUUUAACUUUGAACAAACUUGAUCUCUAUUUCGCAGUCCACCUUUGACAUGUAAUGAGAUUAAAAAAAAAAAGACAAAACUAAGACUGGAGCUUUAGAGAUAUUUGCACCUUAUUCAAACUUCAUAUCAUUGCAUACAUGGCCUCAGUUAAAAUUUUCUACUUUAAGUAUUUAACCAUUAAACGUAAUGCAAACAUAAUACAGUCAUUAUUAUCGAGAUAAGCCAAAAUGUCAAGACAAGAAAACAGAAUCAGAAUGGAAAAAAAUCAGAAAAUAAAAGAAGGCAAAAGAACGAAGUGUGAUACUGAAUCUGCAGCUGCUUGUAAUGUUACAUGAUCACCCCACUCGCCGCUCCUGCAUAUGACAGUGUAAAUCAAACAAACUACAGAAACAGUGAUGUGUUUGCUUAGAACAACAUCAGGGCCUAGAAUCUUAUGAAAAAUAAAACAUACUUAGAAAGCUUAUUCAGGUAGUCACCAUAUGGCAUUGGAACAUAUCCCUCAUAGAUCUCAGAGUGAGACUUGAGCUGAAAAACAAAAAAGCACAUUUUGCUAGUUAAAACAUGAUAAGUGCAUAAGAAAGAUACUGAGAAUAAUAUUAAGAGAAUAAAAAACCAACCUGAUCAACAACUUGCUGUCUCACAAACUCAUGGUGUUCAGGUGUUUGAUAUAAUUGAUCAGACAGUGCCCGGAACUGGAGAAACAUGCACUAGUACUAAUGUCAGGUCUUGGAUAAAAAGAGAAAUGACUGCCCUAAAGAAUCAAAUCAUAGUUGCGAAAUAGAACAUGUCCAUUUCAUGUAAGGGCCAGCUAUUAUUAGGGUCAGAUUCUUGAAACACAGCCGAUAAGUUAGUCUGGACCUAUACUGUCAAGGUCAGGUCCUUAUUGCUUUCUUAAAAUAAUUCUUUGUCCAAAGUUGGAAGCUUACCAACUAUGAGUAACUAGUGAAAUGCCUAAUUAUUGCCCAAAAUCUAUCUCUACAAAAAAUAGAAUUCAACUGCAUCAGCUAAUCUGGAUUUCUGAUGUCCCUUUUCUUUUUAACUCUGACAACCCAUUAGUCCCACAUAUUUGCAGUUGUCAUAUUUAAUCUCAUCCCAAAAUCUGACUUGACAAUUCAUCUGGUCAAUCCAAUCUGAUCUUGAUACCAAAUCUCAUAGUCAAAACUAGAACCAGUGUCUCCUGCAAACCUUUGAGAACCAGCUUUCCAGAAAAGCAAGGUAAAUGGUUGAUCAUUAAAAAGGAAACGAAUCAAAUGCAUAAUGGUUUCAGUAAUAGAGAAAGCACUGCCCUAGCAAUCGAGUGUGACUAUUGGGCAAGCUUAUAUAGAAUCAGGUUUCCCCAGAACACAACUAUGUCAUUUAAGGAAUAAUUUGGCAUGACUAACCUGACAGUUACCAUCUCCUUGGACCUUAUGCUCAAUCAAGUCAUACAACUGCAACCUGCAAUGCAAACAAUGAACAACCAUUUAGAGAAAGAUUAGAACCUGCAAAGUAACUCCUUGAAGAUGGAUGAGUUAACCAGGAAAAUUUAAUAAAAAUGGAUGCCUUUAAAUACUCGUAACUGCAGUGAACAUGGGUGACAACUCAAUUCAUCAAAUAUUUCUAGAAUAUAUGCAGAUACUUUUUAGAAAUAUUAGAUUUUUUAAAUCAUUAACAAAAGUCAAUUCUUUAAGGAGGCUUGGUAUGUACUCUGUAGAUAUCUCUUAGGUACACCUCCUGCUUGAAUAAUAUGGUUUGAUGAUAAAGAAGAUAGCAUAUAACCAUAUUAUUUGAUUAUCUUUUCUACAUAUUUUGAGCAUCUGUUGUUAGAAUUUAAAUUAUUUCUCAAUUAAUAAGGACGAUAGCCAUUUUUAUCAUGUUUCAUAAUUUCACACUCUCAACAAUGUAAAAUAUUGGCAAGCCUUUAGAAUGUUAUUGCUGGAUUUUGACACAGGUAUAUCUAUCAUAUGAUAUUUGGUAUUUUGCAUUAGAAACUAUGCUUCAUAGACACAAAUAUACUAGUGAAAAAGAAAAAUUAAAUAAAUGAAGCUUGUCCAAACUAUCUAUCUAUGAGUAUUAAAUUUACACAUCUUUUAGAGAGUACAUGAUGCAGAAACAUGGAAAUAAUCCUAACCAUAUGGCCACAGGCAUUAACAAAAGCCGAGUUCUCAAUUUUGAUAUGUACCACCCAGUAUGGGGGGUACAUACCGGUCCGAAAGAAUAUCGGUAUACGGACUACCCUCUGUCGGGCGAUACCAGUGCUUUAAUCGAUAUCGAAGCGUACUGACCGGUACCGCGAUUUUGAUUGUUACUGAGGCGUACCGACCAGCAUGGUAGUGGAGGUAUUUUUAAGGUUUUAGAGUGUACCAUUGGUACGCUAGGGUACGCCCUGACGUACCGACGAUACAUCGGUAUGAACCGGUAUUCAAAAUCCUGAACAAAAGGUAUCUUUAAUUAUGUUAAGGUAGUUAGAAAAAUUGAGUGUUCAAAUUAAGUUGUUAUGUGCUUGCUCCUGAUAAGAGUAUAAAGUAGGCUACUAAAACAUAUAAUAGUGACAUCUAUCCAACCAGCAAUUUUUUAGUCAAAUAACCACAGUUACAGAAAAUCACAGGUUAAUCACACUUUUGAGUUUGAUAAGGCCAUAAGGGCACAAGUAGAUAUCAACAUUAACAGGUUAAUCACACUUUUGAGUUUAAUUUCAAGUCUUCACUGGCAUCAGAAGUUCAGAAUUAUAAGUUCUUAUCAAGAAAGAAGAGACAGUAAGGAAAGUUGUAUUGAAAAUUUCGAAGAGACAGGAAGGAACUAUUAAUCAUAGCAUGAGAUUCAUGGAAUAAACCCAAUCCUCAGCUACCAUAAAGCAAAUAACCUGUUUAUCCAGGGUUUAUCUAUUUCUAUUUCUACUAGUACCAACAUCAUUCCAUCGAUCUGGUACUAAUAGACUUGUUUUGACUUAUUUCUAGAAGUAAAGUCUUAAACAAAAACUUAAAAGAGUUAAUGGGCCACACCUGUCUGUAAGUCUUUGAUGAUCCGACGUGGCUUCAUCAACAGAAGGAAUUUGUCCAUUAAUUCUAGGAACAUGCUGCAGCAACCAAGCAACAAUGGCCUUAUAUAAUAGUAAAUACAUAAAUAUGGCACAGCCAAGUAAAAUGAAUUUAUUCUAUAGGAAAAUAACACAUGGAUAGCAAACCUCAGCAAUCAGCCAAAUUUAGAGUGUAUGAGUGUAGUCUGUGCUUAGACUACUAAAGCAAUGAUAGUGCACCGAAGCAUGCCAAUGAUGCAGUACACAGCAUAUACUAGAGUUGAAGCGAUCUUUAAUUAUUAAAGAAUAAACAUGAGUUGAGAGUUUAUCUAUCAGCUGAAGUUGUUGGUACAACUUACAAGUGGUGGACCUAACUAAAACUUUAUCAUGGUAUUGUAGCAGUUCAUGAGUCUAAACCUUGAUUAUGCUAACCUUUAUACUUUGUCCAGUAUUUACACAACCUACCCAUAUAUGGAUCUUCACAUAAAGCCCAUUGAUCUAGCUUGCGCCUUGUACUUACGUCCACUUUCAAGUCAAUUAUUGCUUAUCUGGCUCAAACCUAGGGCCGUAUUAUAUCUAAAUAUAAGUUGGAUUCCUUCAUAUUAUCUUUGGCUUUUAAAUCUUAUCAUUAUUAAUUCUGUUUGUGCCAUGCUGAAUAACCACAUCUAUUUUGUAACAGAAAGACUGCACUUUGAACAAAGUAGGAGUCUCUGUACAUAUGCAAACAUCACUGCUUAUUUUGACCAUUGACAACCACAUACAAUUAAUGUUGCACUUUCAUAUUAAAAUAAUACAUACAAAUUAGUUUAGACAUUGUCCUAUCCCAUAAGAAGUAAAUAUCAAAAUUGAGAAACAUGAAAAGAGAUGUGAAUUUAGAAGAUCAGCACAAACUUACAGGGAUGGGAACCAUCUGAUUUAGCCUUCUACCAACUUCACCAUCUGCAGCAGAAUGCUCAUCUGUUACAUCCAAUGAAUACAGCCCCUCACAAGAGUUUUCUCUGGGACUAGAACAAAAAUUAGACACCUCUUCCUGCCCAUUCUCAACCCCUACAAUAAUGAACAUCAUGAUACAAGCUAUAACAAUAAAUCUUUAACUAGCUGCAGAAACUUAUAUUUAUCGUAGUACCAAAACUGUAUUCUCUUGUAUAUUGGCCAAACAGAUCUUCCGUGAAAUCACGUGCAGUUCCAGAAGCAUCUGCAUCAACAACUUUAGAAAAUCUUAGUAUAAGUGUAUACAAUUAUCUCAUUGUUUUAUACAGUAGCAUUGCGUGCAUCGACGUACCUUCUCUAAUACAACGACUGGAAUAAAAGACCGAGUCCUGCUCAGUGCUGCCAAUAAAAUAUGGAGGGUUUGCGAAUAGGUAAUUAUGGAAAGGACCAACUUCCCACCGAUAAGCCUCAGAGUCUUGCUCGUAGGUACCCAUCAGAUAUGUUCUCAUAACAGUGUUCCAACAAAGUGAAUUCUGGAAUUACCCUUCCUAGAGUUGUUUAUUAUAGCUCGAAUAUGUCAGCCACCAAGAGAUCUCAAUGUACCAUUAGCAGAAGUCAUCCGCUGCAUGACACAUUAUGCUAAGUGAAUAGGCACAUUGUAUAAAUUUAAACUGAACAUAGAGUAAAAGAAGCACCAAGAUAAUUCAUUUAUAGAUUGAGGAGAUAUGAAGAAAUGCAUGAAUAUAUGGCUGUUUAAAAUGGAAUAAGGAUAAGCUUCAUUACAGGGUGAAUGCAACUGGAUCACUCUUAUAUAUCUUAAUAAAGUCGCUCAACAUUCUGACAUGCUUUCUGCUUACUGAAUUCAUCACUUGAAUUAAAAAAUUUAGCAGAUGAUGAUGUUGAAUGUGAAAUAGCAAUUGGUAAAAAAAAAACAAAUAAAAAAAAAGAAAUAGCAAUUGGUCCUUCUCAGCAGGAAUGAAAUUCAGAUAAAAUUUGCUAUUAUAAGCUUAGUUCAAACAAAAUUUAUAUGACCUCAGAGUUCACCAUUUGUUGAAUGAGUAUAAGAAUGAUAUGGUAAGCUAGAAUGCACCUUGUUGGAGUGUUGCUGAGCUUUUCCACAACUAAUAUGAGACCCAAUAUGUGUAAGAUGUGAGUACGCUAAAAUUGGAAACUGCUCCUGUUUUAAAAUUGUGAAUGUUCAUGGCCGUAGAUUUGCAUGAUUUAUAUUUUUUGAGAACAAAAAUCCACUAGCGAUCCCAAAACUUCCCUUGAAGCGUUAUACUUGCAUUUCAAAACAUGUCAAACUAUAUAGUCAUUUAUUAUCAUACUUAUUGAAAAAUGAUUUUAGAGACAACUAAAGAUCUAAUAAAUCAAGAAAAAAUUGCCAAAGUUAAGCUACAAAAAUGAGAAAUGUAUUUGGAUUAAAAGGAAAGUGAAGUUGCUCAUUUAUGAUAUGUGGAUAUGACCUGUCCGUAUUCUUGAAACUUUUGAGACUUGAAUAUAAUAGCAUCCACAACAAGGCCAAUACCACAUGGACCAUGAACACAAGUAAACAUUAUUAGCACUUGGAAUUAUUUAAAAAAAGGUAAUUGAAAUUGUGUUAGUCAACUAGGCUACUGAUUAGGGCCUAAGUCAGGCCAUUGAUGAUGUUCUCAGCUUUGUUCCGUUAGCCAUUCAUCGGUCAAUUGACAAAUAUUUUGAUGAGAAGCAUUCAAUAUAAGACAAGAUGUCAAAAAGCACAUGCCGAGCUCUUACGGUGCAGUUUAGAGAAAGCCGGCAGAAAAUUUUUAGUUGCUUGUUCUUGAAAAGUGCAAGUGGUUAAAAGGUCCCCAUCCCCUUUCCUUUUAGCUUCUUUCCACCAAGAAAAGGCAAAAAAAAAAAAAGGAAAAAGGAGCCGAAAUAAAUAAAAAAGGAAAAGGUAGGGGAUAACAGCGACUCAAGGUCAACAGUGUGUUGAUCAAAUAGUAUUUAAAGUGUCAAAAUGCAAUCUGAUCAUGAUCCUUCUGUCAUUCUUCGCGUUAAAUAGUAAUUCAAUUUUAAUGAUAAGUGCUAAAAUCUGAAUCUAAGGAAAAAUUAGUAGCAGAUAGGAUCUAUUGAAGUGUACCACUUCACAUGUAUAAGAAAUCCUAUACAUAUCCAAGCUAGAAUUCUUCCAGCCAAAUCCUGACGCUUCUCGAUGACAUGUUAAUAAGAUCCACACGAAAUCAGAAUUGUACGAAACAUCACCAGGUAGCGAAAACAGAAUCAAUAUUGCAUCUCAAUUACAACACACACUCUAUCAAUCAUCCCCAAGCCUCUGAUGAGGAAACCGCGGAUCGAUCCAAGAAAGUUAGGCGUCAUCCAUCGGAUAUCCACGAUGCGCUUAAUCUUCAAUACAUAUAAACAUAAAACAUCGAAAGUACACAGAGACUUACACAACGAGAACAAUCGAGGGACGAGGAAGAGGAGACCGACGAGUGCCUCUUUCUUGGACCAAAAGGAAACCGACCGAUCGCGAGAACCUCAAGCGAGCGAGCAGCGCACCCUCGAGACGCCACAAUGGAACGAAGCGAGAGGGAGCGAGCGAGAGGAAGCUGCGUCUUCCUUUUGUAAUCGCCUCAAGCCCCACUACUCGGCCGACACGCGUACGGUAAAGAUGCCUUCCAUCUGACGGGCGUCAACAGUGAUGAGGGGUCGAGUAAGCCGGGUUCGAUGUGAACCCAGUGAUUUGAGCCGGCUGAUUGACGAAUUUGACCGGGUCAGGGUAGCGGAUUCGGACGGAUACCUGCAACGGGAAGAGAAUUCAAUAGACGUGGGUUGACAUCCUAAUCCGAUGACUAGGAUCCGACGCGAGCAUGGGGAAGGACUGCGAGAAAACCGGGCGCUCCGGCGGCUUACCGAUCGAAGGUUGCGUGGAGUUGAUGGUGACCGCGGAAUUCCGCGGCCAAAGCAAGGAGAGGUGAGGACGUAAGCUGCACGCGAGGUCGGAGGUGUGUCUGCGUACGCCGAGCGCAUCACCGCAGCUUCGUCGGCGUUAGAAAUUGGAUUGGAAAUCGUAAUAGGGUUCCCUUCUUUUAUAUUAUUGGCCGUCGACGUCGACGGGCGUCAGCUUCGACGAAGAUGACGACAUAAACAGUACGUGACCGACGUGGCAUUUUGAAUACCUAUUACUCAUCAUCUCAUUUGUGAUUCGUUUGGUGCUCACUGCACUCGAAGAAACAUCUUCCUAACAUUUUGAUGGAAAGGCAGAAUACAUGGAGACGGAGAGGGUCUCAUGGAUUGCAUGCACCCGAUGGCUUUAGAGUGGGCGUGAAGAAGGCGACUUGUAUUAGAGUCCUACCUUCUUUCCCGGGAAGAGCGAGAGACUCUGAGGUCAAAACCUUACAUGAGUUCUUUAUAGCAUUCAAAGGUUGAUUUUUACUCUUGAAUUUUUUUUCUAUCCUAUCUCCUACCAAUUAAUUGAUUUAAUUACUAAUUAUUCUAAUUUUUAUAUUUUUAAAAAUUAUAUUAAAAUCUUUAUAAUUACGAAGGUAACAUUUAAUCUUAUUUUUUUCUCGUCAUGGAUUCUGUGUUCAAUAAUAAAUCUUAUGAUUUUUUGAAAACGAGAUUAAAUGUCUCAACAAUAUAUAACUUUUAAAAAUAUAAGGAUUAGGAUACUAAAAAUAAUUAAUUACAAGAGAUAAUAUGUGAUUAAUUUUAAUUAAUUAAUACAUGUUAACUUGGGUAAGAAAUUAAACUUCAAACCGGUGAUCACCAGAUUCCAUGUUCUUAUAUCUUCCAACGCCACGGAUAUAUUAUAAGACUGAUUAAUGCUAAAGGUACGUUUAGGUCGGGUGCAUGCACUCCUAAUCAUAAAAUUAUGUGCUGAGUAAGUUCUGUACUUAUUUUAAGGUCCUACUUGCAUUACUUAAGCUCCUUUCGCUCCAAGUGUGACCAUGAUCUGGAGAGUUAGACACUAAGUGUUUUUGAUUUAUUGAUAUCCUAAAAAUACAAUCAAGCCAAAAGUCAUGUAUCAUAGCAAACUAUCCUCCAAGACUACCUCUUUAUCUAAACAGAAAGGAAGAAACUAAUUUUUUUUUUAUUUAGAUUCAAAACUUUGAAUGGUAGCUAGCUUAGCUAGUUAAUCAAAUUAUAUUCUACCACUUAUUAAUGUAGGACAGGAAGAAAAAGACUUUUAUAAAAGAAUUGAUCAAGUCAAUUUAGAAAAAAAAAAUUGAUUAAGAAACCUACUUUGGAGCCUUAAAAAAUUAAAAAUAUAUAAAUACUCGAGGAGUAUAAUAUACGAUUAUAAAGAUUGCAUGACAAUAUACAAGUUGGUACCAAGAUCCACACGAGGGCAUCACCGGAAGACUAUUUUCAAGGAGCCUAAAUUUACCCACUUAUUAUUUUUAUUUUUAUAUUUCUUUCGAUUAUCUCAUAUUAUUAGUUGACUAGUUUUAAAGCCGGUAUAAAUAAAGAUCCCCUCUAAGCCUAUGGGAUUAUCAAGAAAUAAUAUCUUUUGAGUAUUGUAAAGAUGGAGUUGAUUUCUUUCGUCCCCAGGUUAGCAGAUUAAAUUUGUGGCUGGAGUGUUAGCCCCAUGAGCAGCUUAGAAGCAUAAGAAGCCAGAAUAACCAAGGAACUUCGAGAGAUUCAUGACAUACUCACUAACUUAGGUUUAAGCACCAACAGACUUCGUGAUGACAGUAAGGUCAACUAUACUAAAGUUGAUGUUAAUGACUAGCCAAAUCAUCAACACGGGCCUACAAUCCAACGUAACUAGCCUAUAAAGAUGAGUCACAUGAAGAUGAAGGAAUUAUAGACUAUCAUAAACCAACCAAAAAAGAUGUGCAUGUGCAACUCAACCGUGACACUUCAACCGAUAUGGUACUAUCUACCCACAAUAACUAAUAGAAUAUGAUGAUGACUCAGGAGAUGACGAUGAAAGAUAUAAAAGACAUGAAGUAUCACUCAAAUGAAAUAGACUAUUUAAGGAUUAUCAUCUCAAAGCAGACCUCCCUAGUUUUAAUGACCACCUCAGUGUUGAAGCUUUUCUCAACUUAAGUUAUAAAAUAGAAAAUUAUUUCGAUACGAUGAAUAUUCCUUAUCACAAAUAAGUCGAGCUUAUUACAUAUAAGUUGAAAGGAGAUGUAAUAGCUUGGUGGGAUAUAUUAUAAAAAAUAAAAAAAUAAGGAAAAACAUCACAUGGCAGAAGAUGAAGUAAAUUCUCAAAUGAAGAUUCCUACCCGUAGACUUUGAACAACUAUUGUUUCAAUAAUACUUUAAUUGCAUCUAAGACACUUGAUAUGUAACUAAGUAUACUGAAUGAGUUCUUACGCCUUUUAGCUAGAUAUAACUUACUAGAGUCAAAAGACCAUAAGAUAGUAAGGUAUGUCAACGAACUAAAAUCUGUAAUUAAAAAAAGAAUGCCUCUAACUAUGAUAUAGAUAGCAGAUGAAGCUACUCUUAUUACCCAAUAAUUACCCAAUAAUUACCCAGUAUUAAAGUCUAAAAUAUUAUUGACUCGACCUCCAAUUAUUACCCAAUAAUUCUCUACUCCAACACAAUCUACUCUUAAAAAAAAAACGUACGUUAUGACUAAGUUAAUACAAUCUAUAAAUCAAGGCAUAAGUACCAGAGGAGUAACAAAGCAAGUUAAGCAUAUCCUGACUACCAUAAACAAUCCAUAUGUUCGACUCAUGAUUGAGAAAUAUUUCAAAUAUGGGGAGCCUAGUCUAUGUAUGUCGUGCUCGUAAGACUAUCAAUCUUGUAUAUCAUAAAGAUGACUUUGAAGAAAAAAAAGAUACCCGAGAUGAUGUAAUUGAUGAUAUUGAUAAUGCUAAAAUAGUAGAGAAAGAAGAGAAACACAUAACAUGUGUUGUAAAAGGAUUAUUACGCAUCCCAAUGCAAAAAAGAUCCAUCUAAGCAUAAAAAAAUCUUUCAGAUACAGUCAUCUUUAUGUCAUCUUUAUAAUAUCCAAUGCAAAAAAGAUCCAUCUAAGCAUAAAAAAAUCUUUCAGUGUUAAUAACAAAGUUUGUGCAUUGAUCAUACAUAAUAAAAGCUGUGACAACAUUAUAUUCAAAUCACCAGUGAGACACUUAAAAUUAUAUAAAGAAGCUUAUCCAAAACUAUAUAAGCUAAGUUGGAUUAAAGAAAGCUCAACUAUCACUAUAAUUGAGAUUUAUACGGUUCCUCCCUCAAUUGAAAAAAAACUAUAAAGAGGAAGUUAUAUAUGAUGUAGUUGACAUGGAUGCAUAUCAUAUGCUACUUGAAAGAUCAUAAUAGUAUGAAGUGAAUGCAACCUAUUUUGAAAAAAAAAUAUUUAUAUAUUUUGAUAGAAAGUCUAACACUUUAAAGUUAUGGGAAAGUCUUUCUUUUUCAUUUUCAACUAUCAGUAGGAAUUUAUUAUUAGUUCUAAAGAUACAAGAGCAUGUUAUGCUCUUAUUAUUAUUGAAAAAUCUAAGAUGACAUCACAUGUGUAGUGAUAGAACAAAAAAUAAAAAUCUUAUAAUUUCUUGUAAAAAAAAAGUUUUCAUUAUCGUGCAAAAAUUUAUGCGCAAAAACUCGUGAAACCAAAAACUAUGCAUAUAAGAAAGAUAUAUUAUAUGGAGAGAUCAUAUAUCCUUAAAAACCUAUAGAUCUUUGGGAGAGGAUGAGGAAGGUCAACUGUCCUCCUCUCUAGCGGUGAUCCACACGGUAGGGACUAUGAAGACGCUCCUCAAAUCACUGCCCAAAUCUCUUCCUCGUGUGCACCACACAAUCAAGAAUGAGCUGCCUCUUCUUGCUGUCCACACACCCCAAAUAGGGGCUGCUGGCUGAGGAGGAGAAUAGGAGGUAGUAGUCAAAAAGCCUAGCCCAUGGACCUUUGGUUCCAUCAUAUUUAUAGAGGUUCCUUAUCAACUUAACCCUAAUGGAUCCUACCAUAAUGGGUAUUGGAUCUUCCUUCAACUAUCCAAGCCUCUUUAAGUUAGUGGAUCUCUACUCAAUAAUCUCUCAUUGGCUCUUAUUAAAUCUCAUUCAUAGGAUUCAAUAAUUCAGUGACUUAUUGGAUAUCUAAUAAGAUAGGACCUCCAGUGGAUAUCUCAUAUCUUAACCUCUACUCGUCCCAACACUUACCAUAUGUGUGUGACCCUCUAGGCCCAAUAUCGAGCUAACCAUGAGUCAUACUUGUUAGAACUCUUUUUUGCUAAUAAUUCACUUGACUCAUCGAUUGUGGGUGUACUAGGCUAUUACGCCAUAAUCCCUAGAUGAUACAAGAGAAUCCAAUCUAUUGGAUAUGUCUAUCCUUAGUUACCAUAUACCUAUAAUCCUUCAUUCAUCUAAUAUUCCAGAAAUCAUAUACCGGGCAUGGUGUUGUCAGACCCAUACGGUUUCUACUCGAGUCUCGCUCAAAUCGAAUUCUCUCAUAGAACUCUUUUUCUCUCAAUUCGAAUGACCCUAGCUAUGGAUUUGUCUAAGCAAGAAUACAUAAGAUAUUUUUCUCAUGAUACCGAGAGUAGAUGAUCCUUUAUUGACACUCAAUAGCCCUCGUAAGGUUGGUUAUCACUCCCGAUGACCGGUUGUGCUAGAUCUGUAACUUCCAGACCUAUAAGUCUGAUAUCAAAAAGUGGAGUACUCAUAGAUAUCCUUGGUAUCUCAAGUCUAAAAACUAGAUACACCACUGGGACAAUGGAUUCGCUGUCUGACAAUAAGGCAUCAUCAACCAUCCAGCAUUCCGUAAGCGGAUUAAUCAGUGAACUCAUUCUCUAAUGAUCACUUGCAUUGUAUCCCUAGUGUCUCUACACGAGCAAUUAUGAGACCAGUUGCCUCUAUCAUAUGGAUGGGUAUAUAGCACACUAGUCUAUCUGAUUAUUUCGAUGUCAUUCUCGAGUAACCUAUGACCGAGAUUAUUUAGGACUUGUGUUUAAAGGCGAAUCGGUCUCAUUAUCGUGAUUCAUCACGAUCUGAUUCUCAUUCCAUAGACCCAUGGAUAUCACAAUAUAUAUAUAUAUAUAUAUAUAUAUAUAUAUAUAUAUAUAUAUAUAUAUAUAUAACAAAAAAUAUAAAGUGAUAAAAUAUCAAAUAAUAUAAUAAGCAAAAAAGAGUACAUAUAAUGUCAUACGUGUCAUCACUCACGUGGUUGGCUUGUAUGACACCUAUGACUAGCAAUUAUGAAGGGAGAAAAAUCACAUGAAGCAAAGAUUCCAAAAGGACUAAGAUUGAUAUUGGAAGAAUUCAAAAAGAUCACCUUGGAAGAAUUCAAAAAGAUGGACUUUCACCCAUGAGAGAUAUUCAACACCAAAUUGAUUUAUCUCUAGGAGUAAGUCUACCAAAUUUACCUCACUACCGAAUGAACCCAAAAGAGAAUUAGAUGUUGAAGGAGAAGAUAGAAGAGUUAAUGUGGAAGGAACAUAUUUGAGAAAGUAUAAGCCCAUGUGCAGUCCCAACUUUAUUGACACCCAAGAAAGAUGAAAGCUGAAGGAUGUGCAUAAAUAGUAGAGUCAUCAAUAAGAUCAUAGUCACACUUUCCCAUACCUCAAUUAGAAGAUAUGUUGGAUCAACUAUAAAGCUCCAAGAUAUCAUCAAAGAUUGAUAUAUGAAUAUCAUCAAAUUUGCAUAAGGCUUAGAGAUGAAUGAACAAUUGUAUUCAAGACAAAAGAAGACUUACGUGAAUGAUCAGUUAUAUAUUCAUGAGGCUUAUGAAUUAGGUACUUAAACCAUUGAUCGAAUAAUUUAUAGUUGUCUACUUUGAUGACAUUCUAAUCUAUAGUCAUAGUAGGGAAGAACAUAUGGACUAUUUAUAGUAAGUCUUAACUAUUUUGUAAGACAACAAAUUAUAUAUCAAUUUUAAGAAGUGUGACUUCCUAACAAAUCGAUUGAUCUUCUUAGAGUUCAUUGUGAGUGCUAAUAGGAUUCAUGUAAAUGAAAAAAAAGAUUCAUGUCAUUUGAGAAUGACCUACUCCAAACACUAUCACAGAAGUGAGGAGCUAUUUUCUACAAGAGAUCCAUUAGAAAUUUCACCAAUAUUAUCACUCCUAACUAUUUGAAGAAAAAAAAGUUUCAAUAGAUUGAGGUCAUUGAAAAUUGUAUGCUAUGAUAUAAGCUUUACGGAAUUGGGAAUGUUACUUGAUUCCAUAUAAGUUUGUAAUAUUUUCAUACCUUAAAAUGCUAAACCAUUUUAAAAACUAGAAGCAUUUGAACAAGAAAUAUGUAAAAUAGGCUUUCUAUAUAAAGCAAUUUGAUUAUGAAAUCAAACAUAAGUUUGGUGCUUCCAAUCAUCUUGCUGAUGUUUUGAGUGUUGAAUCUCGGAUUUUGAUAAUGAAAUCAAUUGAUGAGUUUGUGAUCUAAUCUGCAUUUUGAGUGACGUAGGACUAGCUUCGAUUAAGGAGAGGUAAAUUAAUUAAAGCAGGAUGAAUCGAACAUUGAGCCAGAGUGAACAUAUGAGAAGAUUAGACGUCGGGCCGGAGGAUCGGUCGACGUGUUCGUAAAGGCCUCGUGCCAUGAAUUCGAGCAUCGAGCCGAAGGAUCGGACGAAGCACCAGAUGAACCAAUGACAUGUCGGAUAAAAGAUUUAUGCUUCAUAAUUAUUUAUUUAAGAUUAAAGUAGUUUAGGGGCCUAAUUGAGUUAGCUUUUGUUAUAAUCAUGCUAACUCAAUUAGGGGCCAAUUGGACCUUAAUUGGGAUUGAUUUGGGCUCAUUAGGAGGCUCAUUCAGUGACCCAAAAGUUGGAUCAGGUAGUGGCACCACCAGAAUAGGCGGUGGAAUCGCUUGUGAGUUGGAAAAUUCAAAAAACCGGUCUUUGAGGCUGUUAGGCGGUGGUACCGCCCAAUGACAAUGUGUCAGGCGAUGGUACCGCCUAGUGUUAGGCGGUAGGCGGUGGUACCACCCAGUACAGGCUGUGGUACUGCCUGUACCCAGAAGACUCAAGAAUUUAAAUUUUUGGCUCUAUUUUUGAAACCAUUUGGGGCCUAUAAAUACCUCACUUGGGCAGCAAGAAAGGAGCAAGAAUUUUUGAGGAAAAAACUAAGUAAACUCUGCUAAAACUUUGAGUUCCCUCCUCUUAGUGCUUAGAGUUAGUCCUAAGGGAGGUGUGUGAUGGACUACUUAUAAAAGAGUGCUAUGUGAAGGUUAUCUCCUAAACCUGUGUAAAGGAGAAAGUAUUAUAAGAGGGUAGUUGGUCUUCACCCACUUUCCGAUAUGAGCUUUAUCAAAAUGGUUUUUCUACGUUGAAUAAGUUUUCAAAUCGACAUAAUUUUUACAUAUGCACUAAUUAACCCCCCCCCCCUCUUAAUGUCGACUCGAUCCUAAUAUUAAGUAGAAAAGCAACUUUACUAGUCUCUCUAAGUAAUAAAGUUGUGGGGUUUCAAUACCUAAAGGAUCAAAUAUGUUUGGGAGAAGCAUUUAAUAAGACAACCUAUAGAUGAUUUUCAUAUCUAUGAUGGUUACUUAUUCAAAGGUAACAAGCUAUGCAUUUCGAGGAUGUCCUUAUAAGAAAAAAUUAUUCGACAUUUAUAUGGAGAAGGACUUAACGAACAUUUCAGGUGAGACAAAACAAUAGCAAGUAUCAAGGAGAGAUGCUUAUGGCUACAAUUAGAAAGGGAUGUGGGUAAUUUUGUAAGAAAAUAUCCAACUUAUCAAAUUGACAAAGAUCAAUCGCAAAACACUCAUUUAUAUAUACCAUUACCAAUUCCAAAAGGUAUUUAAGAGGAUUGAUUUAUGGAUUUUGUACUAAGAUCGCUAAUAACUCAAAGGAGAGUUGAUUCUAUAUUUGUAGUUAUGGAUUAGUUCUCCAAGAUGACUUAUUUUAUAUUAUCUUGGAAGACUUUAGAUGCGGUAUAUAUUAUGAGGCUAUUCUUUUAAUAAAUCAUGCACCUACAUGUGAUACUAAAAUCAAUCAAUUUAAUUAAAAUUCUAAAUUUCUAUCUCAUUUUUAGUUAAUCUUGUGAAAAAUAUUUGAUACAAGUUUGAAGUUUAGUAGUACAUCUCACCUACAAAUUGAUAGUCGGACAAAGAUAAUUAAUAGAAUUUUCGAAGACUUAAUUCAUUAUAUUUAUGGUGAUAAGCCAAGAUAAUGAAAUUUCAUGCUCACAUAAGCUGAAUUUGUUUAUAAUAUAGUAUUUCAUAGUUUUUUCGAAAUGUCAUCAUUCUUUAUUAUUUACAAAAAAGGUGUCGAAGCAUGUUUUGGAUUUAAUUCACCUACUAAAAACUCUCAGAAUAUGUGUAGCAACUAACAACGUAGUUGAGCAAAUAUAAUCAAUCCAAGCUAAAGUGAAGAAGAAGUUGGAAGCUACUAAUGCCAAGUAUAAGUGUCAUUAUAUCCUCUUUUUUUUUUCCUUUUUUUAAUGAUUGUUAAGCUUUUUUAGUAUUAGAGGCUUACAUGGAGGCUAAUGACUUAGAUUUUGAGACUUCAUUAAGAAUUUUGCCUGUAUUUUACGCCGAAAAUUGCGAUACAAAGAGAGCAAAAUUGAGGACAACACUUACAUAUUUAUCAUUUGAGUAUCCAAUAAUUAUUCUAAUAAUUAACGAUCGAUUUAAAAUCUCUAUAUAGACAUGUUCCAAAGAGAAAUAAUCUUAAUCAAAAGUUGGACCUGAAUAAGAUUUCGCCUUAGAACUGCGCUAAAUAUUCGUUGAUGUCAAUAGAAUUUGAUUGUUUUUCUCAUUUUGUUCGACCAAAUUGUGCACGACAGUUCACUACAUCUCAGAAAAAAAUAAGAAAAAAAAUCUGAAUCAUGUCGUUAUAAUCAAUCUUCUUCCCAUCAUUUUCGGUGAAGACUCUUAUUUUAUUAUGGAAAAAAACGGUGAACAAAAGUCAGAAAGGAGAACGGACCAAAGUGCACCCAAAUUUCUAGUAACCCACCCCACCUCCAUGAUGAUAAAUGAUGAGGGCGACACCCAACUCCCUUCGCAAGAUAUCAAACAUGGCCAUGGUCUGAACGACUCCGGGAAAACAAAGCCAUGGUUAUGGGAUUGCAUUAUGCUGUUAAAUUGGAGCUGCAAAUAUUUAUGUAAACGAUAAAUUGGUUUAUGAUAAGGACAUGGUGAUAGAAGCUCAUAUGGUUAUAUUUGAUAAUUACGUGAGAAUAUUUUUUAUCAUUUUAAAUUUCGACACAUGGUAGCAUCUAAUUUCCUAACGAAAACACUCGAUACAUUCUUUAAUCGGAUAUUAAUCCAGAAUAUCUCGAUAUGUCCAAAUCGAUAAAGACAUGAUGAUAAAAGAAGCUCAUGGUUAUAUUUGAUAAUUGUACGAGAGAAUAUUUUUUGUCAUUUUAAAUUUCGACACGUUGUAGCAUCUAAUUUUCUAAUGAAAACACUUAAUGUUUCUCUUGGUCGUAUAUCAAUCCGAAAUAUCUCGAUAUGCCCAGAUCGAUAAAGACAUGAUGAAGCUCAUGGUUAUAUUUGAUAAUUACAUGAGAGAAUAUUUUCUAUCAUUUUAAAUGUCCACACAUCGUAUCAUCUAAUUUUCUAAUAAAAACAUUUAAUACCUUUUUCUUGGUCGUAUAUCAAUCCGGAAUAUCUCAAUAUGUCCAGAUCGAUAAAGACAUGAUGAUAGAAGAAGCUCAUAGUUAUAUUUGAUAAUUACCUGAGAGAAUAUUUUUUAUCAUUUUAAAUUUCGACACAUGGUAGCAUCUAAUUUCGUAACGAAAAUAGUCAAUACAUUCUUUAGUCGCAUAUUAAUGUGGAAUAUCUCGAUAUGUCCAAAUCGAUAAAGACAUGAUGAUAAAAGAAGUUCAUGAUUAUAUUCGAUAAUUAUAUAAGAGAAUUUUUUUAUCAUUUUUAAUUUCAACACAUUGUACCAUCUAAUUUCGUAAUGAAAACACUGAAUAUCUUUCUUGGUCGUAUAUCAAUCUGGAAUAUCUCGACAUGUUCAGAUCGAUAAAGGCACGAUGAUAGAAGAAGCUCGUAGCUAUAUUUGAUAAUUAUACAAGAGAAUAUUUUCUGUAAUUUUUAAUGUCAACAAAUGGUAGGAUCUAAUUUUCUAAUGAUAACACUGAUACCUCCUUCAUAGUAUAUCAAUCCGAAAUAUCUCAACGUAUCGAAACCGACAAUUAUACAUGCUCCAUGGAUUGGGAAUCGCUAUAGCGCCUUAGCAAAAGUCAAGCUCAUGUCUACCUAGUUUAUGCUCUCAUGGUCCAACCUCCAACGUAUUGGAAAACUACGACAUAAAAGGGUCAAACAUAUCCCUUUAAUUGUAAACUAACGAAAACAAUAUAAUCUUAUAUUGAUAUAGACAAUAUCAUUUAUGAUAAUAUAAGCUCAUGUAAGGAGAUGAGGAAUAAAAGAACAAAGACCUCUCAAUCUCCCUCUCUACCUCUCUUUUACUGAUUCCUUUGUAUCUUAGAAUAUAUGAAGCUCUAACCCCUCGAGUGAAGCACUCUUGAUUGAUCAUCCGAGAAUGGGUCAUGAAGAAUCCUCAAUGCUUCUUGGCGGAGAUACUCUUGACCUCCGGUUUACUUGAUAAUAUUGUCUAAAUAUAUGACACUAAUGAUUCAGACGAAAGAACUUCGCUCCAUCCUCUCCAUGUAGGAUGGAUGACCACCCAUCACGUAAGAUUCUUUAAAGAAAUCGUUAUAAUUAAAGGAGAAAAGAAAAUAAAUAACAAACAAGCAAUAUUAAAUCCCUCGUUCUCACUCGUUGAAUCAGGCAAGAACCACAAUUUUCAUUUCCAAUAGCCUUUGAUGGUACGAUCGGAACAAAAAUUAGAAAAGUAAAAAAGAACUCUCUAAAAGUUUCAAAAGAAAAAAAAAGAUGGGUCAUCAAAAUAGUUCUAAUUCUAAAAUGAGUUCUAAAACGAAUAGUUCUAGUUCUAAAACGAACAGUUCUAGUUCUAAAACGAAUAAUGAAGAAACUUGAAAAAGUGAACCAAAUUUCUUUAUUUGAAUUGAGGAAGGGAAAAGUACAUGAACCAAAUGAAAAUGCAAAAGAUUCAAAAAAAAAUAAUCAGAUUAUUCACGAAUCGACCAUUCAAAUUCGAUCUAUGAAUUGGACAAAUUAUUUACUCAUAGAAAAAAAAAUGAAAGAUCUUGCUGAUAAGACAAUCACAAUAAAGU
This 76872-nucleotide long non-coding RNA is filed under the name Musa acuminata (dwarf banana). RNAcentral describes it as "long non-coding RNA (MACU_LNC000397)". The record is from RNAcentral. Lineage: Eukaryota; Viridiplantae; Streptophyta; Magnoliopsida; Zingiberales; Musaceae.